This 57333-nucleotide long non-coding RNA is filed under the name Populus trichocarpa (black cottonwood). RNAcentral describes it as "long non-coding RNA (PTRI_LNC000084)". Lineage: Eukaryota; Viridiplantae; Streptophyta; Magnoliopsida; Malpighiales; Salicaceae. The record is from RNAcentral.
UUCUUCCAAGUAAAUAGCAAGAAACUGUAACAAGAGAUUUACCUGUGAGACAGGAAAGAGGAUUUCUACUGCAGAUCGGAAUCCAUCGGAGGACAAGAGAUUAUUUGUAGUUAAGAAAGAGACGAAGACAAACAAGUAAGAAAGAACGAGGAGGACAUUUUGGCGCUUCUUUUGAGUCUCAUACCCUUCUAUGUUCUAUUUUAUUACCAUAAAACCACCCAAAAAGGACCGUAACUUCUCGCCAUGUCAUCAAAUAGCAAACUAUCGCGAUAUAUUGUUUCUUCAGCACUAGAAAUUAUUCGGUGCCAAUAAUCUAACGACGAGUUUACCACUUCCCGCGCUUGAAAAACUAUCCGUUUUUCAGAGCCCUUGUUUUCCGGAUUAGAAAAUUUAAUUGCGGAUUGAAAUUGUUUUUUACUGAAAAAAAUUUAUAAUUUGUUUAAAUAAUGAGAGAAAAGGAACUUAUUUGGCUUUAAAUUUAUUUAAAGUAAUUGAUUUUUAUGAUAAAAUAAUUGAUUUAUAAUAUAGCAUCAUAGGAGUGAGAAAAAAACUGAAAAACUAAUUAAAUUGAGAAAAUAAAAAAAAAUAACCGAAAAAACCGAACCAUGAAAAAAAACAGAUUAAACCGAUUAAAAUUUUAAAAAAACCGACCAGUUCGCUUUGGUUUCGGUUUUAUAAGCCUGAAACCAAAAAACUGAAUCCAAACCGAAAAAACUGGAAAAAAACAGAGUCAAAUCGGUUUGAACCGGUUUUUUUCCUAAAAAACCGAACUGAAACCGGUCGGUUUGGUUUCGGUUUUUUUAUAAAAAAAUUCGGUUUGGUUACUUUUUUUUUAUAAAAACCUAACCGAACAAAAAAUAAUCACCCCAAACAUGUAUCAUAAAAAUCAGUGCUAGAAAAUACUUUAAACAAACUUGUAAAAAAGAAGUUAUUAAACCAUACAUCUUUUGUCAAAAACAUUAUAAGAGUAAGAUUUUUUUAGACAUAUGACUUUAUUUAAAUUGUUUAAAAUACUGAGUAGUGGGUACUUAUAAGAUAAUAGAAUAUUCUUGCACAUCAGAAUCCACCAUCCAAUAAAAAGAACAAAAAAUUACAACCAGAGCAGUAAAGGCUCUAACCUCUUCAAAUUGCUGGCUAUGGGGUUCGAACCCAUGCGCACUUAUGUGCAGAAGAUCUUAAGUCUUCCCCCUUAACCUCUCGGGCAAACCAGCUGAUGGUGAUGAGGUGGUUUGUUUAUAGUAUUAAUACUAAAAACAAAACAGCAUAAAGUCUCUCUCUCUCUCUAACUAUUUAACAUGGUAUAAUUAUAUAGAAAAAAGUAUAAGUUACGGUUAUUAUUCAUAAUCUUAAUUAGAGCAAUCUCGCUUAAUUUAAUAAAAUAGUUAUUUAAUCAUUAUCAAUUUAAAUUGAUACUUGCCAUUUAAUUAAAUAUUAUCCACUUGAUGAUAAUGAACAUCCAAUUUUGAUUAAAUAUUUACUUAAAUAUCAUCAUCUUACAAGCUAAUCUUCAAAAAUUGUUUUAAUCUAACCUUAUGAUUAAGUUGGGAAUAUUUUCAAAUAUAUUAAGUCGCUUAACAUGAACGAUUUUAAAAAUACUUAACAUCAUUAAUCGACCCGUCAAUCUUUUCAUAAUAUAUUAAGAUAAAGAUAUAAGAUAUGGUGUGUAUAGAUAGAUAGAAUAUAGAUGGUUUCUAUAAUGCCUUAAGAUCAAUUACUUUUUUGUCAUUAAAAUAAACACGAUGCUUUAUUUCCGAGCCAUUUAAUUAAAGAAGAAAGUAGUAAUUUCCAAUUGAAAUCAGCAAACUUUCCUAUCUUCCUGAGUUUUAAUGAUGAUGGUAAUAGAAUAUACGAGAAAAUAAAUGGAAAGAAUUCAACAGUUGACUGGAUAGGUUAAGAGAAUCAAUGAUUUUGUGUGAUGAAUAGAGAGACCAAUAGAUAUAUAAAGGGGAAAAAUUAUCAAGAGAUUGGUUAAAAGAAAAGAACGAGAAAAAAAAAAACCAACGGGGGCUGACAAAAAUUUUGAGCCUCCCAGCUUUUAAUUUGGGUGUUGUUCAUGAACAAUAUCAACUGAUUCAGGAAAACACAACUACACGCUACAAAUAGCAGUUUGCUUCAAAACUGUGUUACAAGGACUUGCCAAUUACAUGCUUAGGAUCUACUAAUCUGCCAACACAGACAACGCAUUUUGAAAUGAAUGUCUAACGGGUAUAAUUCCUAUCUAAACCCUAGCAUCAAAUAUGCAGCCAAAGUACUUGUUUUUAACAAUGUGCCAAAAGCAUUUUGGAUACAGCUCAAUGUAUGUACAGAAAAGGAAAAAAACAAAAUGGUACAAAACUGAAAGAUCUCACUAGUCCUCAGCACCGGAUGCAAGCUUUUGCCUCUUCCAUUCACGUGCUUUUUCCAAGAUUUUGAGAUUAUGUGCAUGAGCUUCUUCUGGAAAUACGUAAUCUAUGUAUUCCUCGUACCUGCAAGAAAACAUUGUUAGUCAAACUGAUAGGAGGACAGGAGGAGAACGUAGAAAACUGAAUGGCCAAAAUCAGUAGCAUUGAAAUGGUGGAAUAUCAGUUCAUGGACAUGAUAUAAGGGCCAAGCUAAGCGAGCAUGUUAACAAUCAAUCUCAAGUAUAGAUGUAUGUAUGUGACACCCAGUUUAAAAGGAGACUUCUAUCAGUAGUAUUGCUCCCAACAUUUAAGUGACUGCUGGAAAUUUUCAAAAAACCAACUAAAUCCACUUGAAACUCAAUCAACAAAAGCAUUUGGCCAUUGCAGUUGAAGUUACUUUUGCAAUGUGCUUUUUUAGGCCACAGAGCAUCAAAAUAUGGCUUUUGGGGUUUGUUGUUUAAAUUCUUUUGGCAUCAACAAACAAAAACAUCAAAAAGCACCUGAAAAAGAAUCAACAGCCUAAAAACAAUUUUACAAAGACACCUUUAACCACAAUGUAAGGCUCCUAACUUGUAUCUGAACCACCACCUCCAAUACAUUCACAAACCAUACAUAAAUCACGAAUUAAAACACUGCUGCCUUUGGCAUCAUUGUGAUAAUUAAAAAAGAAAGAACAAUGACAGAAGAUAAAAGCACAAGUUGAUUUACAUACCCAGCCAGGCCAUCUUCAGAAGCAAUCUGCUUUCUCUUUUUCAGUUUCUUAGGCAGUUUAGGCUCAACAAGGCUAACAUCACCUAGCUGCCCAAAACUUUUCUCCAUGUCCAACCAUUCAUCUAAGAGCAUAGCUCUUUCUUCUUUCAGUUCAGGGGCGGACAUUCUGAAGUAGUUUAAUGCUUUCUCAAAAACCCCUAAAGAAAAAUACAAAGGGUAAGAACUUAACUAAUUAGAUAUAUAAGACCUGAUUAAAGAGGUCCGGAUGCCUUACUUCUUGCAUUUUGAACACACAGCUUCUGUUCUUCCAUGGCAGAUGCCUCGAAUUUAGCACAGCUGAUCCAAACUUUUAGAUGCUUUGUGCGAUCCAAAAGUCUCUUGUAAAGUUCCCGAGUUCUAUCGUAUUCGCCCUCAGAGAUUUCAAAAUCAAUGUAUGCCUGCAGUCAGAGGAAAAACACAUCAUCAUCAGUACUUAUGAUAUCCUCCAACUCUUUAAUCAAUCAACGAUAAUACUUUCUCUAAACAAGAAAAGUAAUCAAAUCAGACAGCUCAGAGUUCUAGGUUGACAACAACAAUGCUCCUACUUUACAUAGUUUCCAAAAAUAACGUCUUAUAAACAAACUUUCACAUUUCUUCCAUUAAACUAUAUACUUAAAAUAAGAGGAAACCUCACUGGCACACUGUAAUGAGAAAAGAUGGUGAAUAACAGCAUAACAAAGGCGACAAUGGAUUCAAAAGGGAAUCACAUAGAUUGAUUGGUAAAAGGAAUGGCAUUGAACUUGAGAUAAACCAGCCAAAAGCAACUCAAAGCAGUUAAAGCAGUGCUUAAAUGAGGAGACAGAGAAGGAUCAGUGGAGCCAGGAACUGUACCAAGUGUUAAUUCUUAUCAUUGGUAAAGGGUAUAUUGUUUUGCACCUAAGCUAAGUUCCUGGGCUAAUAACAAAACCCCUGCUCUCUACAAACAGCACAGCUUUUUAUGUGGUGAACUAGCAAUGACUUCAAAGAAGUUAAAGCAGUACGUAAAUGUCUGAAAGAGAAAACAAAGCACAGAUAUGAUUGAAAGAAAUUGCUACAGUUAAGUUUAAUGUGUGAGAAAUAAAAGAUGGGGAAAGCAUAUAUCAAGUGUGGGAAGCUUAAGUUGUUUGACAAAAAUGUCUUCAAAACAUACAGAGAGGACUACAUUCAAACAAGCCAUCAAAUAAAUAUUAAAACUUACCAUUACAUGAACAAAGACACCUUAAAAAUACAAAUAUCCAUCUUGUGCUCUUUUUUUCAUCACUAAGCAUUCAUCUAUUGUUUCUAAAUUUUGAACAUGAAGGAUAAGGAAGCAUAACCACUUCUGCACUGUAGAUUUAUGAUUAUUGGCUCUACAAUACACUUUCAGAACACAGGUCUGACAGUCAACACAGGACAUGAAUUACAAAUAUGAACUCCUUAACUAAAAUGGUGACAACAGAUAAAUUACCUUCCACAACAACUCUGGCAUAUCCAAGGCUGGCUGUGCUAUAGCAAGCUCAAAAAUAGAUCGGGCCCGUUCAGUUUCACUCAAGGAUCUCUCCAGCUCAGCAUAUUUGCUCCAAGCAUAGCAAUUCUCGGGCGACCACUCUAAAUAUUUCUCAUAGAGUUUUCGGCAACGAUCGAUAUUUCCAAGCUGCAGCUCAAUCUCAAUAUAUUUCUUAAAUAUCUGUUUGUCAUCAUGUAAAAGUGUCAGAACAUAUCAACAUAGUGCAAUAAAACUCAUCAAGCUCUAUUAUCAGCCUAGGUUUUACCUUAUCCUUAGGAGCUUUUCCAAUGGCGUUACCUAAAACUUGUCGAGCUCCCUUCAGAUUCAAUUGUCGGAUCUCAAAUUGGGCUGCUAAAAGCCAAAUUUUUGCAAAUGAAAAUAUCUCAUGUGGGAUCAGAUUCAAGCAUUCCCUGAAAACAUUUAAAGUGAAUUAGAAAACUCAUCAAAGUCAGUUAGAUGUACGUAACAAUGCACCAAUCCCUUUGUCUUGUAGUUAUGAACUUAUGAUUAUAACUAUUUUUUCUUGUAUCUUUUCAAUUAUUGACAAUACAAUGCAAAUUUUGUAAUCAUAAGACAGAGAAUGAUAAAAAUAAAUAUGCAUGUGGGAAAGUAUGGAGUGACCACUUGUACACAAAAUUAGAGACAAAAAAAUAAUCCGCUUUACUUAUGCUGCCGCAUAUAGUUAGCGUGUGCCAUUAAGACAGUUGAGCAGUGUAAAGGUCUCUUAGAGAGUUAGAAAAUGCAUACAAUAUAUGUUGCCCCCCAAAAAAAAUAAAAAAUUCAAUGAUAUCAUAACGAUCCUAUCAAUAGACAAAGCACUUGAAAACUACAUAGACUCCUAUCAGACCUGUCCUCUGUUAGCAACUCAUUUGACAGAUAAGACAAUAACAUAUCCACCUGUUCCUUGUUUAGUAAAGGGAAAUCAAGAGCAUUGUACCACCACCAUCAACAGAAGGAACAAAAAAAACAGAAACCAAUAUAAUCAGAAUAAUCACAAUAGCAAAGCAAGCAUACCUAUAUACCUCACGUGUUCGUUCUAUAUCUUCAGCAUCGAGCUCUUCAUAAAGGGCAUAAUUUAUCCUAAACCAUGCAAAAUCAAGACAUCAUUAACAAUUAACCAAAUAAACCAGCCAUCAUAAAGAACAAAAUACCACAAUUCAAUAUAAAUUCCAGCUCCAAAACUUACCACAGAUAAAUAUAUCUCUGCCAGUAUCUCUUCUCUUGGGCAGGAGGGACAUUAGCAAUUGCACGUUCAUACACCUCUCUAAUCCUCUCCUUAUUCCCCACACUCUCCUCCAACCUAAUAUAAUCAAACCACGCAUCAUAAUUCAAAGGAUUCUUCCUCACUUCAUCUUCAUACUGAAACCUCCUCUUGCCCACAAUCGCAUCCUCAAUCCCUUCUUUAUCACCAUACUGUUUCUCAAAUGCGACAAACUUCCUAUACAAAUCCUCUGCCCUCCCUUUCGGUAUAUGAUCCAAUGCAAAUUUAUAAAUGCACCUCGCCCUCUCCGUUUCUUUGCACCUCUCUUCAAACUCUGCAAACGCAACAAACAACAUCUCUGCCUCCUCAUCAUCAGCCAACUUCUCAACCGCCCUUUCAUAUACAUUCCUUGCCCUCGCAACCUCCCCAUUCUUCAUCUCAAACUUGGCAUACCUAAUCCACGCACUCACCUUGGGAUGACACUGAACAAACCUCUCAAAAAUCCCCCGUGCACGUUCCACCUCAUUAUACCUCAAUUCAAACUUUAUAUAGGAAAGCCAACCUUGCUGGUCCGGCAUCCACCCCAUCCAUCUCUCGAAAAUCUGCCUCGCUCCAGCAACAUUCCCCAACAUCUCCUCCAUAUGAAUAUACUUAUACCAGAGCUGAUCAAUCCUGGGGAGAAGAGUGACCGCCCGGUCCCACACAUUUCUGGCAUGAUUUAUAAACUUGUUUUUCAUCUCCACCUCCGCGUAUUUUAGCCAUAGAGUAUGAUUCCGGUAAUCCACCUCGAGUGCACGCUCCCAAACUGAACGCGCGCGAUUGAAAUCCUUCUGUGACUCUUCCCACUGCGCGUACUUGAUCCAAACACUGAUGUUCCACCUCACUCGUCUAAUUAAAUCCUCGAACUCUUUCCUCUUGCGGAGACGGUAGUCGGCCAGUUCAGUCGAGUCUGUGAUUUUCUGUUUGGGUGGUCGAAUUUCAGCUUCUUGUCGUUCUCGUGCUUCGCGGAGGAUUUGCUCCGCUGUGAUUUGGAUCGGGGCGGGGGUUUUGUUCUUCACUCGGGUCGGGCGGGGGAGCUUUACCUCAGUGUCUUUUCGGGUUAGGUAGCCGAGAGAAGGAUCUCCGUCCCUAUUGGAAGCCAUGAUUGGAUAAUUAGGGUUUGAAAAGAGAAGAAUUUGGGGGUUAGGGUUAGGGUUUCUCUGUUUUGUGGUGUGUGUGAGCGAGCGACAGAGUGAGGAGGAGGAGGAGAUUUUAAAGACUGAAAACGACGUAGUAACUGCAGUGCAUUUUAUGUGAAAUCGAGAAGUAGAAGUUGGAAAACUUUCGAGUAAAUUAUUCUUUAAUCCCUAGAGUUUUAAUGCUAUGGCAGCUUAGUACAUUUUGCUUAAAAGCUUACAAUUUAGCUCUCGUUUAGGAAUACUGCUCGAAUAGAGGUUUGCUAAAAUUCAGAUUUUUUUAUUAAAAUUAUUUUUUUAUAUUUUAAAAUUAUUUUGAUGUAUUAUAUUAAAAAUAAAUUUUAAAAAAUAAUCUAUAUAUUAUUUUGAUAUAUUUUUAGAUAAAAAAUAUUUUAAAAAACAUUUAUAAUCACACUCUCAAGCACUCUAGACUUUCAAAUCUUUUUAAUUAUUAUCUUAUUGAAACAUUUAUUAAUAUUUGUCCAUGUAACUUAUAUUAGGUUGCUAGUGUGAUUAUAGUGAUUCGGAUAUAAGUGGUUGAUUUUUUUAAUUUUAAAUUUUAAGACAUGGGAGCAUGAUUUUGACAUAUUCAUCAAACACGUAAAUAUAAAUAUUAAUUAAGUCUAAUGGUUAUUUAUUAUUCAUACCUUUUGAAAAGAGCUUGUUUAUUUUUAUAUUUUAAAAAUAUUUUUGAAAAAAAUUGAAUUUUUUUUACUUUUUUUUUUACUUCAAAUUUUAUUUUAUUUUUUUGUGUUUUUAAAUUGUUUUAAUGUACUGAUGUUAAAAAUAACUUUAAAAAAAAACAUUAUUUCAAUGUAUUUUCAAGUGAAAAGCAUUUUGAAAAAUAAUCAAUAUCACAAUAACAAACAGACUUUAAAUAUUAAACUGAAUUCAUCAUACUAAUUACAUUAGUUCACGACCAUUUUGUAUUAUUUGAGCUCAAAUGUCGUAAAAUGUUAUACAAUCGAUUGUCAGUUAGUUAUUAUUAGAGAAAAUUAUCUAAUGAUCAUCUUGCAAUUUAUUCAAUUUUAUAUUUUACCUUUGUUAUUUUAAAAAUCAUAAAGAAUAUUCUUGAUCAACAAAUAUUUUCAAAUGAAUUGAAAUGACCAAAAUGACCCUAUAUUAUAUAUAUAUAUAUAUAAAAAAACAAGUGACAACUUAAACAUUGCUUUCUUUGAUUUAUUAUCUCUAUGUUUUCAUAAUAAAAAAUCUAUCUCUUUACAAUCUAAACUAAACAUAAAUCCAUCAUAAUUUGUUAUUAGUGAGUUUAGUUAUUGUUCAAUAUUGUUAUUUCAUUAGAAAAUAGGUUUUAUGACUCGAUUUAACCAAAACAGUUUGAAUUUGUAAUUGAUGAACCUUAAAGAUCUAGAAGCUUAGAAACCUUAAAAAAUCAAUGUUUUUGGUUCAAACUUCAAUAUUUAGCCUCUAUACCUGGAGACUAUUUCAUGGUAAGAGGUCUGGAGUCUUUGACAACCAAGACUAAAACCCCUUAUGGUGAAUAUCUUUUAAAGCCUCCUAUAUCUUACUGGAUUAAAAGGUCCACUAAGAUUGUAUAGGUUUUGUAGAAUCACAAAAACCAUGUGAGGAAGGUUAUUGAUGAAGAUAUUCUUUAUAGAAGUGAAAUGCAAAAAGUUUAUGUGACAUAUUUUUAAAGGCUCUUAUUUAUUAUAAAAUUUCUUUUAAUAAUUGUUUCGGAGAUUUCAUUCCAUGCUUGUAAUACAUUUGUCAUGUUGCAUAAUUUAUUUUUAUCAAUGAUAUUUUCCUUAUUGGUUCUAGAAUGACUAAGUAGAGAUUGUGCCUUUAUUAGCUUCCAACUCUUUUAUCGUUGUCGGUUGUUGUCUUAUAAGGUGUUUAAGAGUGUAGUAAUAUUUACUUUUUAAGUGCUUUUUUGCCUGGACAUCCAUUAAAAUAAUAUUUUUUUAUUUUAAAAAAAUUAUUUUUGACAUCAACAUAUCAAAAUAAUUAAAAAAAAAAAUCAAUUUUUUAGAAAGGUUGUUUGGAACGCAAUUCCAAAUGGCAUCUUGGUUAGUACCUUAUUGUUUCUUGAAAAGGAAGCGAGAGAGAAAGUUUUCAGUUGACCAUAUUUUGAUCAUAAAAAAAUAUAAUCAAUUUUGGUGUCAUCAUUUUAAAGAAGGAAGUUUGAUAUAUUUUGAGCUUUAACUAUACCAAAGAAAAGUUAAUCGGAACCCGAAAAGUUUUUUUAUUCGAUUUUUUUUUUAUUUUAAAUUGAUUGGAGAAUGUUUUGGGUUGAAAAUAGAAUUAUUGAGGUUUCUAUAAUGUGUUUGUAGGUUAAAACAUAUCAAAAAUUAAAUUUAUUCACCUACCAUUUUUUAUCGUCUUGCUAGUUUUUUUUUUCAAUCAAGCACAAUUAAUAAAGUUACAAGAAAUAGCAUAUGUCAUUAAAAAUAACAAAAUCAGUAAAAAAAAAUAAUAAAUUAAUCUAUUCCUUUGAUAAAGCUCAAAUGGUUAUCUUACUAGGAAUAACCGAUCUUUAAAAUACAAAAUAAAAAUAGAGGAUACUACCAGAAGCAUAGUACUAUACUAGUUAGUACCUUGUGCUAUGUUAUAGAUCAAACUAAUUUUUUUUAAUAAAAAAAAAACUAAAUGACAAAAAAAAUCUAAGAACAUAGAUUUUAAAAAGGAAAUGGACACAGUGACGAAUUGAAUCGUUUUGGGUCAACCCUGAUUAACUUAUUAGACUCAAGACUCGGUUCUUGAGAUAAUUAUAAUUUAAAAUAAAAAAAAAUUGUGAUCUAGAUCAUGUACUCCACUGAGUUCAAUAAUAUUUUUUUAAUUUAGUUUGAUGAUAAAAAAAAAAAAACUUUGAGAACCAAAAUACUUGAAAACAUGCCUCUUGUAUAGUGAAAAAAAAAGAGGUUGAAUUUUUUAUUUCUAUUUAAAAUUUGAUCCUCAAAGUUUUAAUUUUAUAGAUCAAUAAAAUUAAUUUUAUUUUGUUAAAUCGAGCAUCAAUUUAACGUCAAAAAGAUUUUUUGACAUAGAAAAAACCUUAUAUUAACUUAGUUUUAUUUAUAAUUAUAAUUAUAUAUGUAAACCUUUGGACUAAAAUUUUAUGAAUUUGUUGAAAACAUUACAAUGAAUUUAAAUAAGUAUUAAUUGGAAAAAAUGAUUGUAGAGAUUAAAAUAUAUAUGAAAUUUAUCAAAUAGUGGUAAAUCUUGAUAGAAAAAAUAAUAAAAUAAAAUAAAUAUAUAAAAGAUUAGGGGAGAAAUUUUAUUGAAAAAUAAUUGUGGAAUAUAAAUUUUUUUAGUGAAUUUACGGUGUAAUUUGUACCAAUAGCCGGGAAAUUAUUCAAAAUACUCAGGAAAACUUUGUCUAAUGGAAAAACUAUAAAUAAACAUAAAACAUUUCAGCACCCCCUGUAAAUUAAGGUGAAUGGCCAUUGGAGGCCAUUGAAGAAGAAAUUAAGCUCUCGUCCUCUCAUUUUCUUGCAAUUCCACAUAAAUCUUUUCUAAAGUUAGGGUAUUAAGGGUAUUGUAAGGGUGAUAAGUGGGGAAUAAACACCUUAACAUAAUAUUUGAAAAGGUUUAAGAGAGAGAAAAUUAUGCGUUAAUGAGAAAAAUAACAGAAUUUUGGUAAAGGAAGAAAAUCAAAUUAAGAGCUUUGCAAAGGAAGUGACAAAAUUGGUUUCAAAUUUGCUUGGUAAAGUACCUUACACCACUUAAUUCUUGUUGAUUAAGUUUUGGUGUGUGGGGGGAGAGAAGUCCCUAAAUUUAUCACUGUUUAUGAUAAAUGCUAAGAAAAAUAUGUAAUUAGUUGUAAAUUGAUAAAAAUAGGUGUGGAGUAAUUGAUGUCUAGUGUGGCUCUUUAGGGCUAGCCAUAUAGAGAUUUUUGAGAAAUAACAUAAUUGAUUUGAUACUGGCAUGAAUAAUUAUUUUUUAAAAAGAGUUUUGUGAUGACAGACAUGUGUUAUAUAUAUAUAUAUAUGUGGGUAUGGGCUUGGCAAGGAUAUAGAUAUGAAGUUGAAUACUUUGGUGAUGUUAUAUGUAGCUAAAUAAAUUGAAAAGUUCUAAAAUUAAUAGAUUAUGUAAUCUUAUGGUUGAAUACAUAUUGGUAUGAUGCAAUAUAUAUUGGAAGGGGUAUGUGUGAAUGUUAGGGAAUUAGAUAUGGGUAUAUAUUGUUAUUUUGUUAUGAUAUCAUGUUUAAGUAUGUAUUAAAAAAACUGGAAAUUUUUUAGUAUUGUUUCAUAUUUAUCGAAUAGUUUUAAUGAAAUUUGAAAAUGAAUCAAAAUGCUGGUUGAUUUAAAUGGUUUAAAUAUUUUAUAUGAAAAUAAAAUUUGGUAAAUGGAAUACAACUUAAACUUGAAAAUAAUAGGAAAUUGCGUAUACAAAUUGGAAAGAUAUUGACUUAAAUAGUUGAAUUAGUUGUUAUGACCAAACUAUAAAUCAUUAAGGGUUUAAGUGAGAUUAUAUAAAUUAUAUGAUCUGUUAUGGUAUCAUUUAAUUAAAAUUCUGGUGAUUCUUUAUUAGUAUGGAAAAAACUUGGGAAUCCAAACAGUGAAAAGGAAUUAUAUGAAUAUAAAUGCACAUAUAACAUAACGGGGGAAUAAGGGAAUUAAAAAUAAAAUAUAAUAGUGUGAAAUAAAUAGUUAAACGACAAUUGUUGAGAUUUUAAUAUGUUAAAGUUAAGGAUGAUAAUUAUAAUGAUGUAAUAGCAAGGAUGAAAUUGUGAUAGCAUGAAUUUUAAUUUACGUGAUGGAAAUUAAUGAUGUACUAAUAUUGAUUUUAGUAUAUCAUUAAUUAAUAUUUUUAUGUUGCUGUAUUAUGUUGAUAAAUAUGGUUGGAAUGAGAAUAAUGAAGUUACAUAUAUGUGAAAUGUAAAGAUGUACGGUUGAAAUGGAAAUAUAUGGAAUUAAAUUUUGAAAGAGUUAUAUGAAUUAAAAAAAAAAAAAAUAUGCAUAUAGACUUAGUUAGCCGGAGAUGACAACUAAGAGAUUGUUGAUUACAUAAUCGGUCAUAAUGUUUAGAGUUUACACGGUUACGACUGCGUUUUAAAUAAAACACAGUAAACAUAUGUUCGGUUACAGAGAAAAACGCCAUCUACUGUUCAUGGGUCCUAUCUUUUACUACGUUCCAAACUCAGUAAUCGCGAAGCAGUGGAAAACUGCUUUUGUUUCAACAGUAAACAAUGGCCAACACAUAUUUACGCACUGUUCAUGCUAAUAAUUAGCAUGAACAGUGUGACAUGCAUACAUUGUUCACGUGAACAGUGUAUGCAUGUUACACUGUUGACUGUAGCCGACUAUACUGUUCCAGUCGGACUGGUUCCGGUUCAAAGCAUUGAACCAGGUCCAGCCCGGUAAAAUAAUUUUUUUUAAUUUUUUUAUUUGAAAAACUAGUGUUUAACAUUAUUCAAUGACACUACAUAAAUUAGACGGAGAUCGCUAGAUGAUGUAGCAUUUGCAGAAUUUGAUCGCAAUCCCAAUUUUGUUAUUGAUUAUAUUUUACCUGAUGUUAUUGCGUGCUUAAAAAACCACAAAAAUUGUAGUCCUUAUCGGAUGUAUUUCAUACGUGAUGGAAUUGUAGAUAUUUUAAUGGAACAAUAAAAAAUAUUUUAUAUAAAGUAUUAUUUAUUUCAUGAUGUAAUAAUAAUAGUUAAAUCUAUAUAUAUAUUUUAAAAUUAUCUUAUAACCUCAAUUUCAAAAGCAUUCUUAACCAAACACAUUAAACUACUUUUUUUUCAAUCUCAAUUUCAACCACAGUUUUAACCAAAUAUCUAUUUUUUCAAACUAACCUCAAUUAAAAAUAUUUUUUAUAAAAUAAUUUUUUUUCAGACCAUAACAACAACAGCUAUCACAAUACCAAACACAUUUUUAGUUAGCCAAUGAUGGCACUUAAGGGAUUGUUGAUUACAUAGUCAACUCUUGUGAUGAAAACGAUGAACUUAGUUAGUCAAGGAUAACAACUAAAGGAUUGUUGACUAUAUAUUCAGCCCUUGUGAUAAAAUUAUUGAUUAUAUAGUCGACUUUUGUGUGUCGGGACUAUGGACUUAGUUGGUUGGGAGUAGUAAUUAAAGAAUUAUUGAUUUCUUAGUAUUAUAAUCGUUCAUUUAGUUGAGGAGUAAUGUAAAUACUUUAUAAAAUAAUUUCAACAUCAAUACCAAACAUCUCCUUGUUGCACGCCUGUGCAUCACGUUGGAGCUACGUGGUUUUGGUUUAUUCCCGCUUUAAGAAUUCACAGUCAUUGCCUAAUUUGCCGAUGCCACAUGCAGUGCCUUCAUGUUCAUUGAUUGAUGAGCUCAGCAGUUAAUCUGUCACCGUUAUACGACAUUUGCAAUGCAUUUUUUUAUAUAUAUAUAUAACUCAACUGUCAUGGUUAUCUAGUUUAUAUAUAAAAAUAAGUUUUUUUUUUAAUUUCAAAAAACUCUAAAAAUAUAUAUUUUACAUCGUAUUUUAAAAUUUGAAUUUUAAAAAUCAAAGAUGGAAAGAUAUAUCAUUUGUUUUAUGUUUCAAAUGAAAUAGCUGAAAAUUUUAAUGAUAUGGUACGUCAAUAUCUUGUUUUGAAGUCGACAGAGUAUUAAUGACUUGACAACAGGAUUUGACCCAAGCUAGAUGUAACUAUGAAUGAUUAUAUCUCUUGUUUUUGUGUUUUAAAAAUUGUAAUUUUUUUAUUUUAAAUUAAUAUUUUAAAAAAAAAUAUUUUAAUAUAUUUUUAAAUAAAAAUAUUUUAAAAAAUAAUUAUAACCCCUCACCGUGAAGAAAAAGCUCAUCAAUUUAAUGUUGAUGUUGAUGUUGCUGCUGUAGGGAGUGGGGACCUUACCAGCAUUGUAGACCACGUCCUCACACUCGCUCUACUCCCCUCGUUGCAACCAUUGAGGUGUUUAGUGAAUGAGUUUGCUUCUUCAAGUUCAAGUCCGAUAGCAAGUUGCCUCAAAGAAAAAUCUCACUAGUGUUACGAGAAUACGAAUUGGAUUAAUUUUUUUUAAAUAUAAAAAAGAUAUUUAAAUUAUAGAAUUUUUUUUGAUAAUUUUAUUAAAUUCAACCUAUUAUAUUAACUUUGAAAUUUUCUCACCCGAUAUUUUAAUAACUUGAAUUUUAAAUUAAAUAGUACGAGAAUUAUCUCAACAAGAUUCGAAUACCUAAACAUGUCAAAAAACAAUCGGCACCAGCAAGUAAAUAAUAUGAUUUAACUUAAAAAAUCAAGAUAAUAUCUUUUUUUAAAAAAUAUUGAGACAACAACAUAUUAGAUCGACUUGAGUUUUAUGGCUUAACCUGCUUUACCCGAGUCGUGGGUCUGCAAUCUUGUUAUAGACUCUAUUGAGUUCAAUAAAUUUUUAAAGUAUUUUUUAUUUAAUCAUACGAUAACAGAAAUAAACAUUCAUAAAAUUAAAUACCGGUUCAAUAUCGGAAUAUUUUUUUCAGAUCACGAUAAUCCCAUAGAAAACAACAUGAAACAAAUAUUGAAUUAUAACUCUCAAUCAACUCAAGUUAACCCACCAAACUUGAGACAUCUGUCAUGAACUCUUAAUAAAAAUUAAAUCAAAAUAAAUAAUAAAAUUUAAUUCUUAAUCAAAUCAAGUUAACUUGUCAAACUUUUUAUCCAGGUAAUAAGCUUAAUAACCUUAUAUUUUCAGAAUUUUUUUUUUAACUAAAUAAAAAAACAAAUGUGUAUAAAAUAAAAUAUUAAUUAAAUACUAAAUGUUUUUUUUAGAUAAGUUUUAAAAAUAGCAAUGAUUUGAAUCCUGAACCAUCAACACUCUAUGGGCUAGACAGUGAUCAAAAGCAAAAAGCUAGCCAAGGUCCAUGAAUGGCGUCCUAGUAAAAAUACAACAAUGUAUGAUGCUAAUUUCAAAGAGCUAGAAUUAUUAAUUAAAUAAUUCCCUGAAGAAAAAUAACUGGCCACCCUUUCUCCAGACCAUUUGAACCUUCCUUUCAUAGAUCUACAUGCAGAAAAAAUAAAAUAAAUAAAAACAUACUUAAAACAUAAUUAUUAAAUUAACAUCUAAUAAAACACAUCCAAUAAAAUAUCUUAAAAAAAUAAUAAAAAAAUAUAUCGUCUUAAUUUUUAUAAACUGGUACAAUAUAUCCAAAAUUUGAAGCUGCAAAAUUAGAGGCAGAGAGAGAUAUCCCAUCUCCAUUACAGGCAAAGCAAGAGUCUCUUCUAUUACUCCUAUCACUAAUUACGUCCUUCUAGGGUUUUUUUCAAGGUCUAAAAAUUUCCAGGUUUGCCCUUUAAGUUCAUUACCUGAAAGAAUGUUAGUGCCCUAUUUCAAUAAGUUUUUUUUUUUUAAUGCAUUUGGUUAUCCUUUUCAUUUUAGUAUCUGCUUGGUUGCUAAGAAAAUCAAGAGAUAUCAAAGAUAACAUUUUGUUGUGGGUUUUUUUUGUGUUGUGGAGAAGCAGUUAUUUGGUUAAAUUUGUUCGUUUAUUGCUUUCUCUGAUUCUUAGUUUCCGAACAAGUUUUUCUUGGAUUUUCAUUUUGUUGAAGUGGAGAACUUUUAACAUUUUGUUGUGGGUUUUUUUUUGUGUUGUGGAGAAGCAGUUAUUGGUUAAAUUUGUUCGUUUGUUGCUUUCUCUGAUUAUUAGUUUCCAAGCAAGUUUUGCUAGGAUUUUCAUUUUGUUAAAGUGGAGAACUUUAAGGAUUCUGGGUUGUGUUAGAAUUUGUAAAUUUUGAUUAUUUGAAAAAAGUUUUUUGAUUUUUCAGUUUUGGUGAGGAAGUGAAGUUUAUAGCUAAGUUUUGUGGAGAAGGGAUUGUUUGGUUAAGUUUGUCCCAUUUCUUGCAUUUACGGAUUCUUAGCUUUGAAAUAGAGAUUUGCUAGGCUUUCAUUUGUUUAACUUGCGAACUUUUUGGAUUCUGGGUUGGUGUUAGAAUUUGGUAAUUAUUUUAGAAAUUUGUUUCAGUUCUGGCAUUUAGAAUUUCAGCUUCCAGAUAGAGAGCUUUGCUAGGCUUUCAUUUUGUUGAAGUCUUCAACUUUUUGAAUUAUGGGUUGGUGUUGAUUCUUUUAUGGAAGCAUUUCUUGAUUUUUUAUUUUAGUGAGGAAGUGAAGAUUAUAGCUGAAGUUUUUGUGGGUUUGAAAUUAUUUAGUGAUUUAUGCUCAAAGCUGUGAAAUUAAGUGUAGUAAAUGAAUGCCAUUGCUUUUUAUCUUGUUUUUAGCUUAAGUAAGAUCGAUGAUAGGCAUGUGGUUACUGAAUGUUUGACUGAAAACAAGUCCUGUUUACAUUGCUAGAUGGAUGCAUGAUAGACUAGUCUGUUUUUGGAUGAUAUGGACGAAGGAUUAGGUGAUGAAGUGGCUUCAAUGGACGUGGUGGAGCAGGCCCACCUCCGAGGUAAAGAGAGCGAGCAUUCCGUGAAACCACCUGAAAGCUCCAACUUGUUGGAAUCUCGUGAAAUGGAUAUAGCUGGUGUGGAUGAUUAUCGUGAGAGCUCCUUUCAUGUACUUGCUGAUAUGUUGGAGGGUAAGAAUGAAAAUAGGAGUGCAAGCCCUAUGGAUGCAUCUGAGCAGCCAUGCUCUAGCCCUCGCUCUAUAGAUGAUGCUGGGAACAUGAAUGAAGAAUUAAUGGUGAGAAAUUUUAAUGGUUCAAAUUUAGCCAUUGUUGGUACAGCGAAUAAUAGGGAAAGGAUGCAAACUAGGCAGAAUCAGUGGCCGCAUCUUUAUCAAAUUGGAGGGGGAUCCAUGACUGGGAUUUCUCGUAGUAAUAUCUUGUAUAAGGACAGUGGUCAAGCAAUGCUAGAUGUGCGGCGCUCAUCUUCAUCUGACAUUUUGGCUCAAAAAACCUCGAGCAAUGAAAGAAAUGAAGUCUCAGAACAAUUGACACAUCCUGACUUUAAUGGGUUGUCAGGCAAUAUGAGCUCGCAUGCUAAUAUCCGGACAAAGAUUCUAUCGAAAUCAGGAUUCUCAGAAUUUUUUGUCAAAAACACCUUGAAAGGUAAGGGGAUUGUUUAUAGAGGGCCUCCACAUGAUAGCUUCAAACUUCAACCAAGAUACCAGAACAAUGAAAGGGCUGUUGGUGGACCUUUGGCAGCUUCUGAUACCCCUUUGAACUUGAGUGCUAAAACUGUAAUGAUGCCCUCUUCACAUGGGAUUGCUGGGCCGAGGCCUGCUGGUUCUGAUCAUGAUGGAGUGAGUUUGAGGGAAUGGCUGAAUGCUGGACGGCACAAAGUGAAUAAAGUUGAGAGCUUGCAUGUAUUUAGACGGAUUGUUGAUCUAGUGGAUUAUUCUCAUUCGCAAGGAGUUGCAUUGCCUGACUUGCGGCCAUCUAGCUUUAAGUUGUUGCAAUCUAAUCAGGUUAAAUACCUUGGUUCAGCUGCUCAGAGAGAUUUGGUUGAAAGUGUCAAGGGUCGAAAUGCACCCUACUCCGACAAUCAUGUGGUCAGGAGAAGGCUGCUGGAACAAGGAAUGUUUUCUUCUGUUGCUGCAUCUGUGAAGAAGCAGAAGUUCAGUGAGAGCAUGAACUAUACCAGUCGCUGGCCUCAGUUCUCUGCAAAAUAUGGCUUGAAACUUGAAUCUACAUGUGAUGGGGACAUCGAUGCUACUGUUUCACAAAAUUCUCUAAAUGAAGCUACUGAACAUAACUGUAAUGCAGAAUAUGGAAUUCAGGCCAAGUCCAUCAGCCAUCAGCCAUCUAAAUUAGGUCAACGCCAGUUGACAUCUAUUAGUGACCAGUUGGAAGAGAAAUGGUAUACAAGUCCCGAGGAGCUCAGUGAGGGGAUCUGCAGGACUGCAUCAAAUAUUUAUGGUCUUGGUAUUCUUCUAUUUGAGGUGCGAAGAUGUUAUUUCUCAUCUUGUUUAUUGAGCACUCUCGCUGUGCAUCUAUGAAAUUGUUUGUGCUUAAUUAUUUGAUAAAUGCUAUUAAUGAAACAUCUUUUUCAUUUGUCUGAAGAUUCUGAUUGUUACUUUGGUUUACCAUGGUGCAUAAUUUAUCUCCAUGUAUAAAUGUUUUCAAAAACAGUUUAUUUCUUAUAAAUGCAUGUUUUCAUGAGUCUUGAAAGCUGGCACAUCCUUUUGUGUGAUAAAAAAUUCAUUUGUUUGUUGCUCUAUCCCUUUUCCCAAAUGCUACCUGUCCAUAACAAAUAUAAUUAUUGGGGCUUUUUUAAGCAUUGGUGAUUCACAAUCUGAGAAGAUUUUUCUGCCAUAUGUAGUAGAAAUUACAACCAUGAAAUUGCUGUCAUUAUCCAAGUGUAGUAGCAGUAGUAUUCUUUUGUUGGCUAUAUAAGCUUAUCCUAUGCGUCCUGCUUAUUUUUGUUUGUCAUUCUCUCUAUGUUUGUUUAUUUUGUUUAGAUUUAUGGGUUUGGAUAGAAAUUUUCUUUUUUAUAUGAUUAAUUAGGUUGUUUCUUUCAGUUGCUUGGUCGUUUUGACUCUGACAGAGCACAUGCAACAGCAAUGUCAGACCUUUGUCACAGGAUUCUUCCUCCACAACUUUUAUCAGAAAAUCCAAAGGAAGCUGGAUUCUGCCUUUGGCUACUUCAUCCUGAACCCUCAUCACGCCCAACAGCAAGGUAAUCCUAGCUUGUUAUAAAUUUGUAAAAUCUUGAAUUUUAUUGGAUAUGAAGACCUUAAAAGCUUGACAUUCCAUUAAUCAAUUGUCUUGGCAUUUAAACUAUUAGAGGACUAAAAAUAAAUUGAGUUACAAGAGUUGUUAAUUUGUGGCAAGAUUUAAAUCUGAUUGUGAGACUUUACCUUGAACUCAAUGUGAUCCAAGCACUUUGGAAGUGUCAGUACCAAACUUCCCUUCUGUUUUGUUUCUUUUUCAUCUAACUUUAAUUCGUGUUCAUUUCUUCAUUAAUAAAAUAUUUACAUCCAUGGAAAGCUAGCCUCUUGCCCCUAAAAGAGGCUUUACACCAUGUUUUGUGCUUCUACGAGUGAGCAGAGGACUAGAUCAUCGAAGCUCCUAUCUCACACCCUCUCACCAACAUUAAAUCUCCCUAAGCUUUGUCUGAACUCUCUCUCACUCUCGAUCCAUAUUAUGCAUAUGUAGUCUACCCUUGCAUGUAGUUGGUGGUGUUAAAGCCAUGAAAUUUGAGUUCACAUCUGACGAAUUAAAUGGGUUUUAUGGACCUUAGUUAACUGUGGGGAUUUUUGUUCAACCUGGUGAAUGAGGAAGAAAUGAAAGGAAAGCUGGAUGGUUGUGACUUGUGUCUGUCAUGGUGUUACUAAUGGAAGUAGAUGGAACAGGCACAUUGAACCACUUAUAAUAGGUUGAUAUUAAAAUUGCCCCCUUUUAAAGACUGAGGACCUUAACAAGAUUUUGGACAAAAUAUGGGAUGAAAUUGCACCUGCAUCAGUUUGUGGGAUACGUGGGGACAUAAUGUAAUAGAUUUUUGCAUUGGACUGAUCAUCGAUUUUCUCAUAAGAAAUGAAUUUCAAGUAUUUUAUGCUUCUUCUUUUUCUUUCCCAAACUAGUGCAUUAGUUGAUUGUAAAACAUUCUGGCUUUGUUACCAGGAUGGGUGCCUGCUAACUCAUGCUAUAGUUCUGGUGCAAGUUGUUAAAUUCUAAACUUAUGCCCUCGUGUGAGAUUCUAUUUUGCUUGUAUCUGGCAGGGAAAUCCUGCAAUCUGAAUUGAUUAAUGGAUUGCAAGAGGUGUCAGCAGAAGAAUUGUCAUCCUCUGUUGACCAAGAUGAUGCCGAAUCAGAACUUUUGUUGCAUUUCCUUGUUUCAUUGAAGGAGCAGAAGCAGAAGCACGCCUUUAAGUUAGUGGAAGAUGUUAGAUGCUUGGAUACUGAUAUUGAAGAGGUUGGUAGGAGAAGCUGCUCAAAGAAACACUUGCACCAUUCUUGCUUAGAGAAUGACUUUAUAAAUGAAAGGCAACCUACCUCUGAGCAUAAAGAACCUUCCAGGUUGGAGGCACUUUCUCAAGUAUCUCCUGAUUUUCAGACAAACAAUAUGAGGUUGAUGAGCAAUAUCAGCCAGCUUGAAAGUGCUUAUUUCUCCAUGAGAUCCAAAGUCCAGCUUGCUGAGACUGAUGCUGCCACUCGCCAAGAUAAGGACUUACUGAUAAAUCGUAAGAACUGGGAUUUAGCACAGGAGGAUGAAGAAACACAGAAUACCACUGAUUGCCUUGGAUCCUUUUUUGAUGGUUUGUGCAAGUAUGCUCGUUAUAGUAAGUUUGAAGCACGUGGGCUACUAAGAACCGGGGACUUCAAUAAUUCUGCAAAUGUUAUUUGUUCUUUGAGUUUUGACCGUGAUGCAGACUAUUUUGCUGCUGCUGGAGUAUCAAAGAAAAUAAAGAUAUUUGAGUUUGAUUCACUCUUUAAUGACUCUGUUGAUAUUCAUUAUCCAGUCAUUGAAAUGUCAAAUGAGUCAAAGCUCAGCUGCAUUUGCUGGAACAGCUACAUCAAGAGCUAUCUGGCUUCAACUGGCUAUGAUGGUGUUGUUAAGGUGUGUAUAUCUUGCAUGCUAGAUUCUUUACUGUUGAAAUACCUUUCUGUGAGUAUCAGUGGGUCGACCUGAUGCGGGACAACCUUGUCAUAUCUGUGGCUUGGAUAUGGAGUUUUCUGCAUCAGCUUCUGAAUUUCUUGGGGUUAUAAGGGAUUCCAGUGUCAUAUUCUUUAGUUUUCUUACUGCAGCUUUCAUCUUGUCCCCUGCAAUCAUCUUUGAUCUUUCUUUUAUAAAAAAAAUAAGCCCUAAAUAUCCUCACUUCUGAAAUUUUCAAAUGUCAGCUUAAAAAAGAACAUCAUAUUGUUGCUAAUCUAUAAGUUUACAUUGUAUUUGUUGAGGUUUCUCAACUUCUUGAAUCGCAUUGGUUAUCCUUCUCCUACACACUGUAAUUAUUAUCUUCAUGUGUGCUCAAAUUUGUCUGCUUAUUUUUAUUUUCCACUGUACAUUUUAGAUCUUGUGGUUGUAUUCUUAAAUUCCCCACGUUGCUCUUUACCUGAUUUGCUUUGAUGAAUUCCAGCUAUGGGAUGUGAAUACUGGUCAAGUGGUUUUUCAAUAUAAGGAGCAUGAAAAGAGAGCUUGGUCUGUGGACUUUUCUCAAGUAUAUCCAACAAAAUUAGCCAGUGGAAGUGAUGAUUGUUCUGUGAAGCUGUGGAGCAUUAAUGAGGCAUGUUCUCCCCAUCUCUUUUGUACUUUGUAAUAGUUUGGGAUUCCUAAAACCAGAGUUGGAAGAAUGUUCCACUAUUUAAUGAAGGCCAUUUGAGUUAAAAUGUGAUAGUGCUGCUUGGUGUUUCUUUAACUUUAUAUGUUUAUUCUUCUUUCUUGCAGCUCUAGCUAUUGCUCAAAAAAUUGAAAUUCUUUCUGUAAUUUGCUUAAUAAAAGCUUAUGCAGUUCAAACCUUUUUGCAGAAAAAUAGUACAAGCACAAUCAGGAACAUUGCAAAUGUCUGCUGCGUGCAGUUCUCUUCUCACUCUACUCAUUUGCUGGCCUUUGGGUCUGCAGAUUACAGAACCUAUUGCUAUGAUCUUCGGAAUGUUAGAGCCCCCUGGUGUGUAUUGUCUGGCCAUGACAAAGCUGUGAGCUAUGUUAAAUUCUUGGACUCUGAAACUCUGGUUACUGCAUCAACUGACAAUACGUUAAAGAUUUGGGAUCUCAAUAAAACCAGCUCCAGUGGUUUAUCCCCUAGUGCUUGCAGCUUAACCCUUGGUGGACACACUAACGAGAAGGUCAGUGCUUGUGUUUAAGGAGCUAGCCAGUUUGUUCUUGCGCUGCUUUUAUUUUAUUUUAUUUUAAUCAUUUCCUCUUACGGGUAUCUCUUGCUCCUGCAGAACUUUGUGGGUCUAUCUGUUGCCAAUGGUUACAUAGCAUGUGGAUCAGAAACAAAUGAGGUAUGGCUUCAGUUUUUUUUGGCAGAAUGAUUUGCUUGAUAAUAAGUGAGGAUGAGAAUUCAUCACUGAAAGGGGGUAAAAAAUGAAAGAGAAGAACAAGAGUUCCCAGCUUUCAUACGCGACCUCUACCAUUUUUGCCAAAGUACAUCUACUCUUUAACUUACUGAAGUGAUGUUGUCUCCUUUCAGGUUUAUGCUUACCAUAGAUCUCUACCUAUGCCAAUCACUUCUCACAAGUUUGGUUCAAUUGAUCCUAUUUCUGGUAAGGAAACAGAUUGUGACAAUGGGCAGUUUGUUUCAAGUGUCUGCUGGAGAGGGAAAUCAGACAUGGUUGUUGCUGCUAAUUCGAGUGGGUGUAUAAAAGCAUUGCAAAUGCUAUGAAGCAAAAUAGUCAAUCUGAGAUCAAUUGGAAACCACAUUCGUUUGGCUUCCUUAUUGCAUGGGGACCCGGAGCCUUUUCUUUUUUCCGGACAGCAUGUUCAUAAACUGAAACCGCAAAUUUGCUUGGCAAUAUCUUCGACGAAUGUCAUCUGCUCAGCUUGCUCAGUGAUACAAGGGUUUCAGUUGGCUGAACUACUGACUUCACUUAGGGAAGCAAAUUCCGGUUCCAGAUCUCCAGAUAAGAAAGAUCAGAUACCAGAUCUGAGAUAUUUGCCGGUGAAAGCACCAGAAUAUCAUAUUGUUUAAGAGGGUACACUGCUUGUAAAUAUAAAACAAAAAUGAUUGAGAUCAAUGUGGUGUCAAGAUGUGCUGGAUUGAAAUAAGACUCCGAGGAAGCAUCGGGCAUCGUGAUGCAACAAGUUACGUUGGUCAUAAUAAGGGCUUCUGACCAAUUCCGGCAUUUGUGAAUUGGCAGGCAGCCCUUCAAAGUUUUGGCUAGGACCUGCAUAUAUACACUUGAGUUUUCAAGUUCUAUUUAAUAGUGGGGCCUAUUUGAUGCCAAGUGGACAUCUACACCAAUUCCAUCUAAUUCCUUGUUGAGUUGUAUCUACGGAUUGAAUCUUGCAAAUAUAAAAGCUAGCACAUGUAAAUUUUAUAGAAAAAGGAACGGUGUAUAUGAUAAUAUCGUUUUGAAAAGAUUAUUUUAGUUGCCACAGUCUGCGUUUCUGGCCUUGCUGAUAGCUUGAUGAAGUAGUUCAAUGGCACUGUUGACAAUUUCCAUAAAGUCUUGUAACAAGGAGAUAAGAAAAACAGCAGAUUUUCCCAGCAGGAAACAGGCUGGUGUCAUACUGCUUUUUAGAGUUUGACACGAGACAUAGAAGUAAAUAUGGCUUAAACCUAACAUCUUCUGAAAGUGUCAGCCAGGCUACAAGAUGGUCAAAAUUCAGCUUAUGAGCAGAAAUACAGAGCAGGAUGGCCCAUGAGGCCCGCCCAUUUGAAAAAUAACUGUUAAUACUCUCCCAAACAGCCGCACAAUAGUCGGCCCACUCAAGAUCCUGUGCUAAGAACUACGACUAAAGCUUAGUUUAGAAGUUUCUUUAAUUUGUAGACCGAAUCGAACUUCUUAUCCUGUGAUAUUUAAGGACGUAAUUGUAAUUAUAAGCUAAUUUAAAGACUAAACUCAAAUAAUAUUAUCCAAAAACAAAUACGAGUAGUAUUUGGGAAAGAAGAGAAAGCAAGUGUAGCAGAGUGCGUGGAAAUCGAGGAAGACGAGGAUGCAGUGGUACUUCGUCGCCUUACUUCUCACAUUUCUCACCAGCUCUCAGGUCUCUCUCUCACUUCCAAAUCCCUAUAAUAUCUAGAGAUCGAUCAAAGUUUUCACUUUGCUCUUAAGUUUUGAAUCUAUAGCUUUUGAUUUCAUGAUUAUGAAAAUGUGGAAGUACCAGAAAUGUGUUUGUGUGUGUGUGAGAGAGAUUAAGCAUUUUGGAUUGUGUGAUUCGAGGCGUAAUUAAGAAUUUAUUAUAAGAAAGGCGAGAUAGAUUAGGCGUUUGGGUUUUGAGGCGUGAAUAAAAAGUUCAAGGAAAAUGAGAGUUGAGAUACGAAAAUAAUAGCAAAAUCGGAGGUAUUUAAAAAGCAAUGCAGAAACUUGUGAUCGAUUGAAUAAGAUGCUUUGGGUGAAUUGGUUUCGUAUCCGAGGAAGUUUUGUAGCUUCGAAAUACUGUCAGAUCUCUGUAUUCGAAGAUUUUUUUUUUUUUACGCUGAAACAGAUAAAUUAAAUUAACCUAUCCUCCUCCUUUAUUUACUGGCAGGGCAUUUUGACUACUCUAUCUCAAAGUAAUGGAAAGUAUUUGUACGACUAUGCCACUGUACCCUUUCUUGCUGAAGUUUUCAAGGUAUUCUUAGCUCUUGAGUGGACAGACCAUUUAACAUAGCAAUGACGGUUUUUUCCAUAUGUAAAUUGGCUUUCUUUUUAAUGUUGUGUUUAUUUGAACAACAGCUGGUGCUUUCUAGUUUACUUGUUUGGAGAGAGUGCCAGAUAUCACCAUCUACAAGGAUGACUACAGAAUGGAAGAGUGUGCGCUUAUACGUUGUUCCUUCAAUCAUUUAUCUAAUUCAUAACAAUGUUCAGUUUGCUACUUUGACUUAUGUGGAUGCAUCCACUUACCAGAUAAUGGGUAAUUUGAAGAUUGUUACCACUGGCAUAUUAUUCAGGUGCCUAUUUUAUACUGUUCUUUUUUAUCAUUCGCUUCCUCGGUUGGAUGUCUUUUGGAAUGAAUUUAGCCUUGUUUCAGCUAAUUAAUUGAUGAUUUUCUUUGCCUUCUCUAUGAUUCAUUCUUUAGGCUGUUCCUGAGGAGGAGACUGUCUAAUCUGCAGUGGAUGGCAAUUAUUCUAUUAGCUGUUGGAACAACCACAAGCCAGGUAGGUGGUUAUUUGAAUUGUUAGCAAUUUCUCCUCUUCAUCUUCAUGCUUUGUUUAGUUCUUUGGUUAUUUAACUUAUGCACUGCAAGUUUCUGUUCAGAUUUUUAUUUUACACCAAAAUCGCUGUCUUUGUUAUAUUGCAGUUUUUUCACGAUCCUAAUUAUCAUCAACUUUCCCUUUUAAUUUAUUCGUUAACAUUUUAUCUAUAACCAAAAAAAAUAAAAUAAUAAUGAAUGCUUUUCUUUCAUUUAUUGUAGGUUAAAGGUUGUGGAGAAGCAUCCUGUGAUUCUCUAUUUGCAGCUCCAAUUCAAGGCUAUAUGUUGGGGGCAGUAUCUGCUUGUCUAUCAGCAUUAGCAGGUGUCUACACAGAGUUUCUGAUGAAGAAGAACAACGAUAGCUUGUAUUGGCAAAACGUUCAAUUAUAUACGUAGGUAUCUUUUCUCCAUUCAAUGACUUUUCCCUUUUCAAGAUGCUUUUUUAGUAACGUUGCCUGUAAAUAGUCAUGGUAGCAAACUUGACCUGGAUAUCUUCUUCCAAGGCUCUUAGGCUUAUCUCACACUCCCUUAUAUAUUCCUGACCCUGCUCUAUUUACAUACUUUUUGCGAUAGAGAAUAUGGAGUCAUUGGUUGGCAAAAUACAUUAUUACGUUAAUUAUGUUGAUGAUUUAGGUAUUUCCUUCCACUUCAGAUUUGGCUCAAUAUUCAACUUGGCUCGGCUUGUCCUGGAUGAUUACAGGGGUGGAUAUGAGAACGGAUCCUGGUGGCAACGCCUUUUCAAUGGCUACAGUAUUACAACUUGGAUGGUUGUUUUGAAUCUUGGAUCCACUGGCUUGUUGGUUUCAUGGUUGAUGAAGUAUGCUGACAAUAUCGUGAAGGUAAAUUCUCUUUUUAUGGCUUCCUCGUCAUAUAUCUUUCAGAGGAUGCACACAAUCAUGAAAAUAUCCAUCGAUGCUGUGCGUCUCAUAGAUGCAGAUGAUGAGAAUUCCAUUGACUUAACUAUGAAAAGAUUUAUAGAAACCAGAAUGCUCCCUUGAUUUUUCAUUUUCAUACUUCAGUAUUGUUCUAUAAUAUAUCACCUUCUUUUCAAGCUAGAGAGGGCAAGGGAGGACUCAGACCCAGGAUCUCGAUGGAUCCCGGCAGGGGUGCUUGCCACUAAGCUACCCUUAUGUGUCAUCAUUCUAUAAUACCUAUUUGUUCACGAAUCUGCCUGAAACCAUGAUGGAAAAGGGCUUCAUGAGAACUUUAUUUUUUCAGCUUUACAUGCAACUAAACAAGCCAUUUCCUUGUUAUAUACAGGAUGCUCCAGCUUUAUUCAUUGUAGUUUUCCAUUUACACCUCAAAGUUUGCUAUAGUCAUGCUCAUAAGACUGCUGAUAAAAUACAAGGCUCCAGUUUUCUGACAAAAUGACUUUACAUGCCACCAUAAUUCAUGGGCUAUGGAAUACACAACAGGAGUUUCCUUAUGGGACACACCAAGUGUUAUAGGAUGUAUGGAAGUCUCAAGUGUCCUUUUACUUGUAAUUUCGGUCCUUUAGGCUCAAAUGCCUUUAUUACAAUAUCUUGCUCCAUGCCUCCCUCUCUCAGGUGUAUGCCACAUCAAUGGCAAUGCUGCUAACAAUGGUUUGGUCUGUGUACCUCUUUAGCUUCAAGCCUACUUUGCAGGUAUUCAUGCACUCACUGGUCAUCAAAUAAUAGAAUCCUUUCUGCACAUACGCUGGUUGAUUUUGAUACCAUCAAUAAACUUGUUUCAUUUUCUGUGUCAUGCUGCAGCUUUUCUUGGGUAUUAUCAUCUGUAUGAUGUCACUGCACAUGUAUUUUGCCCCACCAAACAUGCUUUUGGAUUUGCCUACACAAGUCAGAGCCGCUCCCGAGAGCCUGAAAGAAGUAACGGUUGAACGAAGAACAGAUUCCUGAUCUUUCUUGCACAUCUGGAAACGAUUAGUCUCUGCCAAUUGCUUAUUGAAAGUGGCAUUAAAGCAAUGGUUUCUGCACAGCACGCUUGAAGAGGCCUAAUAUCCUUGAAUCAGAACCAAUUCUACAAGCAACUGGGUUCUGCUCCACUAUUAGCAAAUGCUAUAUAAGCCAUCUAUUGAGAUUUUGGCUCUAGUUUCGAAAGAAAACGGUGCACCUGCUUAUCCACACUGUCAAUUUAGUCUAACUAUUGGAGUUAUCAGCUGAAUAUGCACAACGUUCCAAGUAGAAUUAUGAGCCAUCACAGUGAUAAGAUUCUUGUAAUGUAAUUCCUCUCAUGUCCAUUUUUCAACUGAUCGCUAUCAUCUACAAGUUUAAUUGUACUCUCCGAUGCAAUCAAGGAAUGAGAUAUUUGUCGGCUCUUUUGUUCAGAUUUUCCACUUCAAAUUCAUGAAAUUACUUUGGGUUGGAUGAACGUUGAGUCUUCUAGUUUCUGAUCUUGACAGCAAAUAUACGAGAUGCCGAGUCCGAUGACAAGAAUUGAGCAGAAGAAUAAAGAGGGUAGCCUAAAGAGCUUGCAAUCAAUUCCUUCAAUUCAAAGUCAGGCCAGUCUGUUCAAACGAGUACGCCUGGCGAAGAAAGGACGACUCAUCAGCAAGAGAGUCGGAACAAAGACUAGCAUAAGCAAGGCACAAUCGAAUCUGCCCAUCUCGACGUGAAAAUAAGAAUCUUUGUAUUGUACAAGGGAGUCUCGCAUGGAGAAAUAAUUUCGACACUUAACAUGCAGGUGACAAGGUCGAGUUAAGCGGCAUUGGGUUGCAAUCAAUGUUAGGCAUGUUUUGAGAUGGGCUUUUUUUCAAGCCCUUGAGUUAAAGACACUUGAAGUUGACAUGGUUGCUGAAAGACACUUGAAGAGUUGGCAUACAUCAUGGUUCCAGGACUUGGAGAAAAUCGUGAAAUAUUAUAGAAUUUCAAAUAUGAGGAAUCCAAAUAUUCUAAAAGGUAUAAUAAACAUAAAAGCUUGGAUGAUUUGUUGUUCUCUAGGUGAUGUAAAAUAAUGGCCUGCUGAAGUUAUAAAAACUCGAAAGAAGGGUGGAUAUAUAGACACCAAAUGUGAUGUUGAGUUCAUUGGUUGAUGUAAGCAGCAGGGCCAGGUCUCUUGACGUUUUGGUGCAUUUAAUAAUAAUGUUUAUCAAAACCUUUUCACCUGUAGAUUUAAGAAUAUUGCUGACAUAAAAGCAGACCCCAUUGAUUCCUCUAAAUUGUUGAAAAACUGUCAAUCCUACUCCCAUCUCGUCAAAAAGGUAAAAAGAUCAAAUAAAAUGUAUUAGCUGACCAUCAGGGUUCAUGGAGAAUAAAUUAUUUCUUGUGAGGCCAGCUGGAAAAUAAAGAAAAUAUAGGAUUGAAAGGUUCCGAACAAUGACUUGGAGCGGGUAUCUUAUUAUUUCAAACAAAUCUAGGAGUCUGAAUUUUAGGAGUUUCUAUGCAGUCCUGCUGCUCAUCCGAGGAUUACAAUAUUGAAUGCAAAGGCUUGACAGACAAUUCAAGUUCAUAUUCCUUGCCAUACUCAAUCAGAGUUUGGGAGAGAGAGGCGUGAGAAAGAAUGCCAAAUUCUUCUCUUUCUUUAAUUGUAAUGUAUAUUUUAUUUUUUUUGGAUCGUUUUAAUUAUGCUGAUAUUAAAAAUAAUUUUAAAAAAUAAAAAAUAUUAUUAUUUUGAUGUAUUUCUGAACAAAAAACACUUUAAAAAAUAACACUCUCAAACACCCCUUGCAUACUACAUCAACAAUCCAAAAAGAUCCAUUUUGAUAAUUUGAGUAAAUUACUCUACCUUUAGAUUUGAUAAAGUUUACUUUUUAUGGUUUACUAUUUGUCCAUUAAGGUUAUCAUUAACAUUCUUUUAUGCUUUAAAAAUUAAAAAAACAAAAAAAGAUCUCAUUUGGAGUUUUUAUCUAUUAUUUAUUUUAAUUUUUUUCUUAUUAAUAUUCAGUAUCUAGUUUUUUUUUUGCUAAUUGUGAGUUCUUGGUUGUGACAUUUUAUUUGAUUAAUUAUUUAUACUUGAGGAUUUAACAUUGCAUUUAAAGUUUUCUUGGUGUGUUUUGUUCUUGAUUAAUCUCUAUAUUAAAAAAAAAUUUAACUUUAUUUUUGUAUUGUGAUUUCACUUGCAAUAAUUAUAUGUGAUUUCAAUUUCAUUUUAAAGUUAAUGUUGUAUAUAUUAGCAUCAUGAUCAUUUAGUGUCCAACCUUAAAUCUAUAAUUACCAUGUACUUGAUCUUUAAUGAUGCCCCUAGAGCCUUCAAGGGAAAUUGAAUCUUAUGCAAACUUAGACGAUCAAUUUGUCCAAGAGAGAUGAACCUUUAAAGACUUUCCAAAUAAAAAAUCCAAUAAAAAUUAAAUUAACAAUCAUUAUAGGCAAGUUCAUUAAAAACACAACCAAUAUAACAAUUAUUUAGGUUAUUCUAGCCACGAUAACCAUGAUAAAUGAGUCAUGAGAUCAAAUAAUACAAAGGCUUCUAUUUUUGACGAUCGUUAUGAUCUUUAAAUUUUUAAUAGGUGAAUUUGUGAAUUGGAUCAUUUCUUUAAGUUACAUAAUUUAUCUGAUAAUAAAAUAGUUAGAUUAGCUAAAAUAAAGUUGAACCUAAUUUUAUUGGGAAGAUAUUGAGUAAGCUUCUUUUGCUGAUUGUAUUAAAAUAAAACAAAACUACAGCAUAAACACCUACCACAUUCUUACAUAAAUAAACUCCUGGAAUAAUAACAAAACUUAGCUGUGUAUUUAUUUAAAGUCUUGUUAAAUACAAAGAGAAAACAGUGAGUGAAUGAACAAUAAUAAUGAUAAUAAUAAUAAUAUGGUGGUGCUGUUCCAGAUAGACGUCGUUCUAUACGUUGUUCGUGUGCUGGAAAGUAAUAACAAAGGUAGCAAUAUUGGUCUCGCAACCAGCUGUGGAGAAAAACAAUAGUGCCUCGUUAGGUUUGAAGAUUCAAUGGCCUUCAUGGGCAAGGAAGAAGAUAUUCUCAAAACAGGAAGGAAUGUUGGUUGGCAUAGGCUGUCGUGAAUAUUAGGUAUAUAUUAGUGAUUUUUGCACCAAAAUCAGAAUCUUUGCUGCUGGCAUUUGCUGGCUCUCGUAUAAGAUUCUAAGAGCAUAUAUCAGCUUAUAUAUGGUGUUCCAUUAGGAAAGUAGCAGUAUAGGAUUCCCAUCGAAAUUUCAACCGUUUCCACCUUUGCAAUUUGAGCAGAAAUUACCUAAAACCCUCCCUUGAAAACUUUGUUUUUAUGAGAUAAAAUGAAUCAUUGCAGGAUAUUGCACGCCUGCAACAUAAAUUUUAUCCAAAAGCACUUUCUAAAGGGUGUUUUUUUUUUAAUGCAGAGAACAAGAGCAUGGAUAUGAUUGCAGGGUAGGAGCCCGCCACAGUACUCGUAGCUCACCUUGUUAAUCAUUAUUGUUCUUAUUGACAUUAUCCUUUUAACGUUCCCUUGGCCAUACAAGCACUGUUCAGUGUUCACGUCAUUGCAGAGUUUCUUGCAAAAGUUCACUUUGGUCUCUAGAGUUUUUUCCUUGUUAGAAUUUGGCCCUUGGAAAUUUAAAUUUCUAUGAUGUAUCAAUGGUGUUUUCUUGAUAAAAAAAAAUAGUUGGAAAUUAAGCUUUAAGUUUUAAGAAAAUAUUCUUUAUUUUUCAAAAACUAUUGCAUUAGGCAAUGCAUCACUUGUAUUUCUUAAGUGGAUAUUUUUUUGUCUUGAAAAAAAUAAAUUAAUAAGGAAAUGAGAGUUUUGCAUCUAGAAAUAAUUUUUUUUCACUCCUUUAUUUAAAUUAUUGAGAUUCUAGCCAAUAUUUAUUUUAGUUAUCCUGGAUUUUAUUUUAGAAAAAUGAUGUUGUUUAUACAAAAAUAUAUAUUAUUAAUUAAAAUAAAAAAAUACAUAAAUAAUUAAUAAAGACCUCGACUUAAGAAAUACAUUUCCUCUUCCAAAAUUUAAAAUAUUUAUUUUAAUCAGCAUAUAAUUGAAUAAAAACUAGCUUUGAGACUUGCUAUGGACAUCGCACCAACAUAAAAUAUAGUUUUAUACACAAAUAUAUUAACAUAGAUAUAUAGAUGGAUUUGAUAAACUUGUGUUAUUGAAUAUUUAAAAAAGAGAUAUUUUUUUCAUUAUAAAUUUCACUUUUUAUGUUGAUGGGAAAAAAUAAAAAUUCUUCAUCAAGAUUUUCGAACUACAAGGAAAAACUUAUAAAAUCGAAGCAUUAACAAUUUAUUAGCAAACACAGCAUUAAAAUCCAAAAUAUAAAUAAAUUUGAGCAUGUUUGGUAACCAUCAAGGACGUACAUGUAAUAUGGCUAAAGAACAAGGAAAAGGGAAGAUUUUUUUUUAAGAAAAAAAGGGUAUUAAAGUGAAAAUAAAAAAGAAAACGUGGACGAAUCAGAAGUGGAGCAUAUGGCGCCAACUAAUAAGUUGCAGGAACAUAACCUGUCAGCGGCGGGAAUCCAUCGCCAGACGGUCACAUGGCUCUUCUCUCUCCCCCUCACCGAAACAUGCGCCUGGGCCCCACACGACUUUUGCUACCGCCUUACCGGAUUGACUGGUUUUCUUACGAAAUAUAUAAACCUAGGCAAGAUCGAUCCAACAACGGAAACAUCAUCACAUCAUUCAAUCGUAGCAUCCUUGUCCUGAAAAAGGCACAAACUCCUUGUGAUUUUUUUCUUCUCUCUGCGCCGGCUCUUCAUAACAGCAGAGAUUUUUGAGAGGUUGCAGAGAGAGAAAUCAAAAGAAGAAGAAGAAGAAAAAUGGCUGGUGUUUCCAGGAUUGCUGUAGCUGUUGUUGCUCUUGCUCUUGCUUCUGCCUUUGUUCUGCCUGUUGCUCAGGCCCAAGCUCCUGCUCCUGCCCCCACCAGUGAUGGUAAAAAAACAGAACUUUCGUUAUACAUUCUUGUUUAUAUGUGUUUGUAUUUUUAUAUGAAGGUAAAUCUUGGAUCCAUGAGAAACCUGUAUUCUUUCACACAUACAUGGGCAUGUUUGUAGAUCUAAGGGUUUUUUUUUAAAAAAAAAUCUUUGGCUUAAUGUGCUUCAUGCUGCAUUUUAGUUUUUAUGUUGUAUAUUCUCUUGAUAAAAGUUAUGGUGUUACUUUUUCCAGAAGAAAGGAAAAGGAAACUGAUAAACUGUGAUAGAGAUAAAAGGGAGAUUUAGCUUCAGAAUUGUUAACGCAAGAAUUUUGGAGGUUUUGGAAAAUGGGAUUUAUCAAUAAUUUUUGGUAAUACAGGAGUACUAGAGUAUUUUCUUGAAAAUGUGAGCCUGUGGGGAUUUAUUUGCUGGGUGAUUUAGGUAAAGAAAUGGCUCAGGAAGUUAUUGGAAUUAAUUAGGAUUAGUUGUUAGUUGUGAGCAUUUGUGUUUAUUUAGGAAAUGAGUUCGAAUUAUGGUUAAGCAUCCUGGAUUUUCUGUUAUAUAUUUGACCUUUUGCAUUGAAGUUGUUUAGCAACAAUUAUUUAUGGUCAUGAUUGUUAGGAGCUACGGGGAAUUUAACAAUAAAAAUGCCCUUGAAGAAAUUAUAUUCGUUCUUGAACACAACGCACAACAAAAUUAAAAUGCCUGUAUCAAUGGAUGCCUGUAUCAAUGGUGCCAGUGCAAUCGUUCAUGACUCUUGCCUUUAGAGGGAAAAGAUUGUUUGCACAUCCAAAAUGAUCUGUACAUGCUUUGAUGUUUUAACCAUUAUGUUUUUGUCCGAGAAUUAAAGGGAGUAUUUUUUAUUAUUAUUAUUAUUUUUUGAAUCAGGGACAUCAAUUGACCAAGGCAUUGCAUACGUGCUGAUGUUGGUGGCACUAGUGCUCACAUACCUCAUUCACGCAGCAGACUUAUCUCACAGCUUCUGAAAUGGUUAAACUUUGGAUUAGGAGAUAGAGAUAGGGAGGUUUGGGUUAGAUUAUGGGAGUGAUGUGCGUGUAUCCUUUAUUUUCGUCUGUUGAUAUUUGUAUGAAUGGAGUGUUUCUGAGUUGUGACGAAUUUGUUGUUGUUGGGAUCAGUGGUUGUUGCUAAUGCUAUCACUUGUUUGGAGGCAGCCUUGAUCUUCUUCUGCCUUUGCUCCCAUUUACCCCCAAAUAUGGUUCAGCUUCUUGCCCCUUUGCAGCAAUUUCACGUUUGUAAACAUGGCAUGCAGCAUCAGUGUCGCGUCGGAAAAAAUUCAAGCUACUUCAAAAUCACUGCCUGCUUCAUAAACUCACCAUAAUCUUUUCAUAGAAAACAGGUGUUAGGGCAAGGUUGUUAAAAAUGUUUUUUUGACACGACACGAAAUAUACAAUAUAAACUCGGAUAGUAAACUCGAAUCGUAAAAUUAUAAAAUCGUAAGAAAAAUAUUUUAACUAAUUAUAUAUUGACAAUUUCAGUCAAGUAGUAAAUAAUAAUAUAACACAAUUAAAAUAAAAGUGAAAUAAACAAUACAAAUAUCCAAACACCUUAAAAUACAUAAUUCAAAUAAAAAUUCAUACAUGGUUUAAAUAACUUAAAAAUACGAAAAGAAAAAAAUAAAAUUGAACAACUAUGUUUUAUUGAUAGAGUUUCAGAAUAUUUUCUAGAGGACAUGCAGGUCUUGAAACACACUGCAGACAACUAGUGAGAUGAUACAACAUUCUAAGGUAUAUCACCAACUUUUUUUUAAAAAAAUAACAGAGACCAAUACAAUGAACCCGUGACCAUGAGAACAAAAAUGUACAAAAUGACAUCAAUUUAAUCUCAUGCCACCUCACUUUCCACCUUUUUUAUGUUAGUAACAAGUCCUAGAAAUAAUGUUCAAAUAUCCCACCAAGCAAGACAUGUAUUUCAAGUUCUCUCUGAGUCUUUGUCGUCUCUCUUUGUAGUUAACAAAUGGUUAGUCUAAAACACAAUAUUUCUCUCUAUAUAAGUAUUCCUAUAUCUUAUUUUACUCCUUUGAUUCCUCACCAUCUACCUCUGUCUUCCCAUGGUUUCGAUCCUCCGAUCAUGCCUUCCCGGCCUAAAAUACAGUAUAAGGCUUUCUCAUACCCAAGAUACUCUAAUGCUGAUGUUAGUCUGCUAAGAUUGAAAAUUUGAGAUUUGGGUAACGGGGAAAAGAGAGACUAGGGAGCGGGGACUUAUGUGGUGGAGUGUUAGGGGACUCGGACAGGGAGGCAGUAAAGUUUUCAAUUUUUACGGGUUAAAACUCGAAAUCAAUCAAACUCGUAAAAUUGGUCUGAUUUUACCGAUUUUAACCGAGUUUGACCGAUUUCGAGUUUUAACCCGAUUUAACACGUUAUUUACUUGUUGACUCGUAAAAUUAUAAGAUUUUAAAAAUCAACUCGUGAUUUUAACAACCUUGAUUGUGGCUGUGUGGCAGGGCAAUGAUCAUUCGUGCAAAAUAGACGUUGCGUCUUUUGGGGAGACAGUGUUGACUUGUAAAAGUCUGAUAUAAUUUGGUCGAAAAUUGAGGAUAGCCACGGUCAACUAGUGUUGGAUCAAUCCGAUGAAGAAGGGGGGGUUUAGUGCAGCCUUGUGUCAUUUAUUGAUUUUAAGCAAAAUGCAUAACCCUACAGACCUAGAGCUACAGACCUCCAAAUCAACAUCAGUGCAAACAUGCAAAUUUAGAUUAAAAGGUAUACCUGUGAUAUAUGAAAAUGCUUGGACACAAACAUGGCCCUCGUAAUUAGAAGACCAUCGCCAGUCACCAGCCCUGCUGCUAGGACACCCGUUACAGAACAUCUUAAACUGUCGUACUCGGAAUGAAUAAUAGCAACAAAUUUAGAAAAUAGAGUUUGGCAUUAAUCUGUAGCAUUCUUUAAAAUUACAACUCAGCUUUCUAACUUCCAAAUGGAUUCCCAGUCAAAAUCAAGUGAACGUAAUCUUUUCCGACAACUUAAAAUGUUUUGUACGAGUCUAAAACUGAAUGAUAUCCAUUUGGCCUUCACAAUGGAAGGAGAGAAGGAGGUUCACAGCACUUAAUAUCUGAAUAGAUCUCAGACAAAACCCCACCAGCACAGGAUUUUAAUCAAGCUUUCUUGGAAACUGAAUUUGCUUCUCGUUGCUCCUGAUCAGUUAGUGAGAACUUCUUCACUUUCUGUACAGAAAUAUCACCAAAGCAAAAAAACAGUGUAAGAAAACAAGAGUGUUUUUAGCACAUGAAUGUACAACAAAUCCAUAUAAUGCCAUAAACCAUUUGAACAAAUAUAAAAUAAGGUCACUUAGGAAGAGUUGUCCCAAAGACAUGUCAAUGUUUAUCUGUAGAUCGUUUCUUAAAGUCUCAGGUUGAGCACUUAUUUGAAGGUGCUUUUAUUUAAAAAUAAAAAAUUGCAGCCAGCUAGCUCAUAGCUUGAUAUUUCAGAUAGUUCUGAAGACUACAUCAACAUUUGAGCAAGAUAUUUUUUAUGCAAGAAUUAAUGAUCACCGAUUUUUUUUUUCUACACCGUAAUACCCAGUUCCAUUGGUUGACUCUUUGAAUUAACCCUCUAUAAUUUAUUAGCCUUGAAGCUAUAUAGCAUAUUUUCUGCCCUCACCAGAUGCCAGAAUUCGCAUCAUGCUGCCAUUAUUCCCGUGGGAAUUUCAUAGCGAAUUCAAAUUUAACCAUCAAGUGAUAAAUACAACAAGGAAAGCCUUUGAUCAAUGAACAUUUUAUCUUCCCCACCCUUCAAAGGGAGAAGAAUCAUACUCAAAGAAAGGAGAAUGACACAGAUCUUAAUAUUGAACUAGAUUGAUCCAGGAAGUUAAUGUUCUCAAGAACAGUCAGAGACAACAAUGUCACCCUUCUCAAAUCAAUGAGCAAAACAGCAGAGUAAUUCGACAGUUCAAGAAGAAACAAUUUAAAAUCCAUAUUAAAAAAAAAAAUGAAGAAAGAGAUCAGGUAUAAUGCAAGACUAAGUUAGAUGGGAGGUACCAUUAGUAGCAAACUUGACAUAGAAAGAAGUAAUUGCACAACACAAUUGCAUGUACUUUUUGACAUCUAGGAGGCCAAAUUCAAGGCAAAGAAAGUUUCAUAACCCAGUGCUAACCCCCAGUUCCAAAAUAACAUCAGUCCCACAAAUAUAAAGCCCCAAACCACUCUAAAGUUACACCUCUCUGCUUCUUCUUUUUUUCUUUGAAGAAUACAUCUUCAAAGUUACAACCUUUCUAUCAAAAUUUACCUACCAAUUACGAGUCUUUUCCAUAAAAGGAUCAUGAAUUUGACAAUUCUCAACAAACCCAUGUCAACAAGUACACAAAGCACACACUGUCUCAAAACUUGCAAGAGACCGACACAUUUGUCUUGAUCAUAAGGCGAUUGUGCUACACAGUUUAGCAGAUCCAGUGCUUCCUCCAUUCCUUGUUUUCUUUAUCAAAAUCUGAGGUUUCAGGUAAUGGUACGAUAAACGGCUAAACCUGCUGUAUUUGCACCCUGUGUUUUCAUAAAUCCGUCACAUAAGUUUCUGUAUUUUCAAUUCAAAUCAUAUGUAUUCCCAAUUUCAGUUAUUUGAGUAUGAUUUUGCAAAAUUGACAAUUUUUUACAUGUUAGAUCUCGAAUAAAAAUACAAUAUACACGAACACCACUCGCGAGUCCCACUCUAUACGAUUAUAUAUAUAUAAAUGAUCAAUUUUGGAAAAUACACUUGUUUAAUUGAUCGAAAUAAGUAUAUAAGGAUAUAUUUGAUGGAAUUGUGAAAGAAAACACAUGGUGUAAAUAGGUGGAUUUAGCCUAAGAUAAACCCUUGCUAAGGUUUAAACUUUAAACUUGUUGGUCUUCCUUUUUCCUUGUUGUGGACUUGGAACUGUUCGGUUCUAAAGAAAAUUAAAAAGAAAAAAUCGCAUAAACUUUGGGGCUCCCGCCCUCGACUUCCACAGUAACAGCCCGUUGUCUCUCGAAAGUCACAGAAAACAGGUUUAGGUUGCAGAGGCCCAGUCUAGGUUUUCUUUGUUGGCCCAGGAAGGUUUAAGGUUUGAUUCCUAGUAUGAAAAUCAAAUGGUGUUUUAUCAUGGGCUUUAUAUCUUUGAAAUGUUUCUUUCCAACUACACAACAAAUAAAAUCCAACCGGAGGCCAUCACUUGUAUAUAAUAAAUACAUUAAUAAUAAAAAAAAUGCAUUAAUAAUGGGACUCCUAGCUCGAGAAUUGAUUGUGCAUAUACUCAUAAUUUUUUUUUUUUGAUUUACGUGGGGUGUCCGGACCAGCUUACGCGCACCACGAUUAUUCCCCACGGUCCACUGGACAUCCUGCAAGCCCAGAAGCAGGUAAGGCACCGCGGGGGUGACAGGCGUGCACAUAGAGGGUCGAACCCGGGACGGUGGCGGAACAAGUCACACGAUUGACCACAGCAGCUAGACCCUCAAGUGCAUAUAUACUCAUAUUUUAUUAUGAGGUGGGGGUGGUUCGUGAUGAUUAGGCGAUGAUUGAAAUCCCCCCCCCCUCUUCUCUCCUCAAUAAUUGUGAUAAUCUAGCGAAUUUUCUUUUUAUUUUGUUUUUAUUUUAAUUAUAAUCUUUAUUUUUUAUUUUUAUUUUCUUUUAUAUAUAUAUACUAUUUUCUUGAUUUUUUUUUAAUUUCAUCUAUUAUCAUUUUGUUUCAUUUUAUUUUAUAUCAAAUUUAGUCAUUGUGUUUUUUUUUCUUUACUUCCUUUAUUUAAAUUGGUUUUAUUUUUUCAACUUCAUUCUUUGAAAUUGGAUUGGUUGAGAAUUGAGUUUCGUGGUUUUUUUAGUGUAGUGAUCACAAUCUUAUGACCCGAGUUAUAUGUAUGAAAUGCUAACUUAGAUUGAUAUUGGUUUCUUUAUCUCUUUUUACACCGAUUUUUCUUUUCAAUUUCAUCCUCUAGCAUUGGAUUUAUUGAAGAUUAAACUUCUUUGUUGUUUUUUUUGUUUGUUUUCCAUGAGGAUAUCUCAACCUCACGGUUCGAGUUGUGAAUUUGUCAUGCUAAUUCAGAUUGGUUCGAGGCUUUUACAUUAUUUUCUUUAAUCUUGUUUUUAUAUCAACUUUGGUCUUUAUUAUUCUAAUUAAUUUUUUUUUGUUUUGGAUUCUUUUUUUAAAAAAAUAUUUUUUAUUUCACCCUUAAACAUUGAAUUAAUUAAGAAUAAAAUUUCAUAAUUUUUUUAAGUGGUGAUCUCGGUCUUAUAACCUGGGAUACAAUUAUAAAAUGUAAACUUGAAUUGCCAUUAGUCUUUUUUGUAAACUUAUUUUCUACAAUGUAAUCACUAAAAACUAUAUUCUAAUUUAUUUUCCAUGAAAAUCAGAAAUGUAUGCAUAUGGAAACCACCUUCCAUCAAUGGAGCAUGUAACUGGGCACCUCUUUUGCACUGCUUGGGAUACUGUUAUUAGCUGUUGAGACUAAGAGUAAAAGAAGUCAAUCUUAGAAGAAAACGGAGAGCAAAAUACAUGUGUGAGUCCCCAUGGAAAGCUUGUUGGAAACAUUAUAUAUUAUGUCUGAUAGGCGUGGAAUUCAUGGGAGUGGGCACUUGCAAGCGGCACAAGAAGAGCGUGCUGGAGAAGUGAGCUUAAUUAUGCGCAUUGAUUUCACCCAGCAGGCACAAGGCGUCAUGACAUACCAUAAAUUACUAUAUAUAUAUAUAUAUAUGUAUGUAUGUACGUAUGUCCAUACGACACGUACUACUUCCACUUCGAUAUCUAUCUGUCUUUCAUCACCAGAAUCUCUCCAAAAAAAAAACCUGGUCUCCUCACCUAGCUGUCGGUGGGUGAUCGUGGCCCUACCUGCCUUCUUUUCCACCCACAAUACAUGAAUAAUCAUGUAUGUAUGUAUGUAUGUAUGUACGGGGGGUCUUGUAUUUUUCAUUUAACAGUCUUCAUCGCCACGCUUGCAUCCAGCCAGGUCUCUGGACGAAAGGGAACCCUAGAAUUUGUGUUAGAAAAUUACCCCCCAUACAUAAUAAAUAUUUCACGUGACCACCUCACCCUGGGAAUUUUUUUUUAAAAAAAAAACAAAAUGUUUCUAUUAUUCUCCCAUGUACAAUGCAUUGUGAAUGGAAACAGAACAAUGUUUCUACUAUCUUGCCUUUCAAAAAAAAAUAAAAAAUCCUUGCAGGCUAUAUAAUACUUGAGGGUAAACCAUCUGAGCAUUUUAGAAUUGAUAUAUAUAUAUAUAUAUAUAUAUAUAUAUAUAGUAAAAUAACUUCAAUGAUAAGAAUAAAAAACACUUAUUUGAAAAUUUAUUUAUUGAAUGGAAUAUGUUAACAUAAAAAUCAAUUCUUUAAAAAUAUUUUAAAAAUACAAAAACAAAACAAGCUCAGUAAAUAUCUAUUUUCACCACGGAAAAUGUAGAAGGUCUAUUUUAGACCCUGCGAACCACUGAAAAACACCAGAUACCAUGUGGCUGUGAUAAGACAACAAAUAAUUACUGGGCAACGCAAAUAAAGAAGCCCAAAUCCGAUGGGCUAGUAAAUGGGACAGAAGGGUUAUUCUUAUCCAAAACGGAGGGUCCAAAACAGUGGCAGCAGGACCACAAUUCAAAACUGUACCCGUAAAAACAGUGAUGAAUUAGCUGGAUUCAAUAGGGACCCGGGGACCAGGAGAGGGCCUAGUUGAGACAAUUGCACUGAACGAGGUGGUACAAAGAAACAAAACCGUUAACCUGACAUGACGUGUACGUCCAUGAUUGAUUGUAUUCCUGGAGAAUAACAAAGAAGAUCCUCAGAGAUUGUUUUCUUUUUGAAUGAAUCUACAAAUCUUGGACUUAUUUGAUGCCAAAUCUAUGCACCAAUUGGGACUGAAAAACCUUUUUUUAUAUUUUUGUGUGGUUAGUCUGCCGUGACCUCCUACAUAUUCAAAGAGGUAGAGGAAAGUCACCGGUUACGAGCAAAGGUCAUAACAAGGGAUGUGAUUAUUAUUGGAGAAGAAAACGGCAAGAGUGUUGUUAUGUUUCCAACAAAUCUUGACGUGGCCAUGUCUCGUUCUGGAAUGGUAAAUGACUUGGUUUGCAAUGUUCGUGACAUGGAUUUGAUAGGGCAUUGAUAAACGAUCGAUAGUGAUGUUGCAACAACGAACUAAGACAUGAAAAUCAUGGAGUAACCAAUAUUUAUCCUCUAAGCUGUUGAUGAUCUGGGAAAACAGAGACAUGCAUUGCUUCGAUCAUGGUAAAAACGUUCGAUCAAAUCGUCGUCUAAUGUCUGGAUUUAAAUCCUAUUAUGCAGAGAUUGGUGGCAAUCCUUCCUGACAUGCAUUAGGCACUAGUUUAGUUCUGAAAGACGAGUUCCUCUCCUCCAUGUUGAGCUUCUGUUGCUGUAGGUAUCCACAUCAAGGGAUCGAUUGCAAUCUUGGCUGAAAAGCCUGUGGGAGAAAGAAAGGGUGGUUGUUUGGCUCGAAUACAUGAUAAAUAAUCAUGCAAUGCGUUUGAAUCUGGGGGACCCAAGAUUUAAAUUCCGGACCAACAUGAAUCAAAUACUGUCCUCAUGCAUCAACUGGGGAUAAUAAGUCGGGGAAAAAAUCCCAGUUUUAGCUAGCCUAUGCAAGUAGCCAUAUGUUGUCCAGCGUGAAUUGUUCUCAUCAGCCUGCAUUUAUAAAGCCGGAAACAGUGGCACCACAAAUUAAGACAAAAUCUACCAGAAAGUGACAUCUCUAUUCACCCUUCAACACCGUUCCGUUAGGCAUGCUUUAUAUUUAAAUCAAUUGGCAAUAUGGGUAGGACUAGAUUGGUAAGAGAUAUUGUCACAGAUGAAAAGAGACAAAUGUGGCUUCUAAGAGUACAUUUGUCUUGUUGCUGGAGGCAUGGUCACUUGCUCAGGUACGAGACGAGACGCCUUAGUAUGAGGUAUAUCAGCUCAUGUUAUUGUUUGCUUUUGUGUGAGGCCAUAUAUGGGUGUAGAUCAGAGGAGUUUUUCUGUACUGCAGAGGUGUGCGGUCAAAUUGCCAGAGUCUGGUGGCUUUCCCGGCAACUCCAGCUAAUGAGAUGGGACCAUAGGAUAUUAUUGAUCCUAGCCAUUGAAAAGUCGCUACUGUCUUUCAGAGUUCUUUUCUUUUUUGGAUAAAUGUCUUCUGGGAUUCUUGAAAUAGGCCUAUUUAAUCAAAAACCUGAUUGAUUAGACCUAAUUAUCCUGCUUUAUUCCUUCGUGGGUUGGUCCAAUAGGAGUGAUGAUCAGCCCAUAAACUGAAUUACUCGCCAUGGACUAUGGAGUUGGUCUAUUUGUGGUUGAACCCAGAUAAGCAAAGUAUUGCGGACAAGCUGUUUAUAACAUAUAGGUGUUUGAGAUAGUGGAUAUGAAAUGAUGUAAAAAUAUUAAAAAAUAUAAUUUAAAAAGAAAAAAAUUCAAUUUUUUUUAAACCUCCAGUACUUAAAAGAACACCUUAAUUUUGCUUUAAUAAUAUAAGUGAUUCUAGUUUUACAUGUAAGGAAUACUAAACAACAUGGUAGUAUAGAUAGGUAAACGGUUGACUCAUAGCCAGUUUGACUUAAGAAUGAUUCCCUUGAUUUGCUGGAUUUCACUAGAAGACAAACUCAUGAGGAGAAAAGGACCCGAAAUGAGCCUCCCUCUUCACCUGAAAAAAUGACCCAAACCCUUCCUGCACUUAUCGUUGAUUCUACAUGUUCCAUCGGAAAUUGUCGUCUAAGGCACAAUUAUUGCCAUCUUUCUCCACUUUGAAAGCAGAGAAAUGCCAUUUUAACAUAUCCCACUUGAUUCAAUUAUGUUACAUAAAUAUAUAAAAAAGAAAACUUAAAACUGGCUCAUGGUUUGAUUGGAUGCUUUCAAAACUUUAGCACAGGUUACCAUACUUGGGAAAAAAACAAUAAAGCUUUGUUUCCCUGAAUCAAAUCAGACUGGAAAAAUGCCUGAUGCAACCGUUUUGUUACGAUUGGUCUAUCUAGAUUGUCCAUGGAAUUACCCCGGUGAUAAUACAAGGAAAAAAACUGACAUCCUCCCGUUAGGGCCAGUUCAUACGGCAGGGUGGCUGUCUGGGCGCCGUAUUCGAGGCCCCGCGAUGUCUACUUUUUUGCCGGUGGCUAUUUCAUGAUAACCUAACUUUUUUCUCCAAUGAAUGCUAUCCUUUCGUAAUAAUCCCCUGCAAGAUCAGUAUACAUUAUUCAUCAAUAUCAUAGCGCAACAAUCAACAAUUUUUUUCAAAGGUUAUUUGUAAAAAAUAAUAAUUAUUCUUCAUUUUUACUUCAUUCUCUAGCAAUAAGAAGAUAAACAUAUUGCUAUUUUCAGGACUAAUAUUGCAUCAUAAAUGAUUUAAGCAGAGCGGUGGUGAUAGACGCAGCUACCUCCAAGCAUUUUUAUGGCACCAAUUGCCUACCAAAAUAAUUUACAGGCAUGGUUUUCCGAUCUCGGUUUUUCAACGCAAAGAUCCAUCAUCCAACAGAAGGAGUUGUUUUAUUCAUGUUGGGUACGGUAAUGAAACGUGGAGAAAAGGUCUGAUACGGCAGUGGAAAAAACAUAAAAAAACCAUGGAUACCACCACUUGCCUCCCUCUGCAUGACUGUCAGUACUGUUCUAUGAGCUAGCUAGCUGGUAGGCUGUAGCUGCUGGAACGGCAAUAACUGUAUUCCGUGACUUACACCUUCUACUCGCCAUCAAAUUUUGCCAUUCCGAUACAGCAGAUUUGCCUUUCUUUCGAUUCCCCAUAUAUCAAUCUAAACACGCGCUUCUUCGCUCUCCUCUGGUUUUGGCUCUUUUUUUUAAGAAAAAUAAAAUUGAAUGUAUCUAUUCUUCUUAGUUUUUUCUUUCUUUCUUUAAUGGAACAUUGUUGUUAGUUUUCCAUUUUUCAUAUUUCAAAAUUCUCAAUUGACAAGUAAAAAAAAAAUGUAUGAAUAAACUUGCCAAUCACAGUAGUUAUUUUCUCUACCAAGAGAAAUGGAAAACAGAUGGUUCACUGUUCAGCAUCUCGAUUUUUUUCAAGAAAAUUCAAACGUUUUUCCUUUCCCUUUUUUUUUAAGAAAUUCUACGUCCCAAAACUUUCUCUUUCAGUUUAAUUCUUUAAUAUUUUAUUAAUUUUAAAUUAUUUUUUAUAAUUUAUUUCAGUUUUUAUGAUGUUAUCAUAAUUUCAAAAAAACAUCUUGAUAUUUAAUUAGUAUUUAGAUUUUAUAAGCGUCUAUUUUUGAUAUCAUAUCAUUAAAUAAAAAAUAGCUUAAAAUAAAUAAAUUUUUUAAACUCAGUAAAUUCCAUGAUCAAGAUCGCGAGUUAAGUCGCAAAGUCUAGGUUGAUCUAAUAUGUCAUUAUCUUAAUAUUAAAAAAAAAUAAAAAGAUAUUAUCUUGGAAUUUUUUUAGUCCAAACCAAGCUUUUAUUGAUUUUUCGAGUUGUCUUAGGACCCCCCAUGUUAACCGGAUCAUGUUGAGUCAACUCUCAUGCAUGUUAAUUUUAAACCCAAGCUAGACAAGGAGUCAGGUCGAGAGAUAUUAAUGUUGAUCCAUUGGGUCCCCUUUAAUAAGAAUGCCAUAUAGAUUCAUUUUAAAAAAAUCCAUCUUCAUAUUUUUUUUCUUUUGAUUGAAUUAUUUUUACUCUUUUUUUACUUAUUUUAUCAUUUAACAUUUGAUUGAUUUUGAAUUAGUCAUAAUAAUUUGUUUUGAUUUACUUUCUAUGGUUUUACUGUAAUCUCAAACAAAUAUCAUGAAAUUUGGUUUAUACUCAAUUCAGCGAGCAUCCGUUUUUGUUACAUGUCAUUAAGUAAAAACUUGUUUUAAGAAACAAAAUUGUUAAACCUAGUGGAGUCCAUGAUCUGAAUUGCGAUCAAUCUAAUAUGUUGUUGUCUUAAUAUUGAAAAUAAGAUGUUGAAAAAAAAUUUAAAAGUCAAACCACACUUUUAUCGACCAUCGGGUUAUCCUUGGACUAAUCAAAGUUAAUUGAGUUAUAUCAUGGCAAUUCUCAUGAAAUUAAUUUUAAACUAGGACUAGGAAAAAUAUCAUGUUCGAAGAGUUCAAGAUUGAUCCAUUGGAUCAAGUUUAAUAAUAAUUUCAAAUAGUUUCCUAGAGUUUGAAUAUUUUAUUAAGAUUUUAAAAAAAAUUUAUCCAACAUGCAGCAUAAUAUAUGCUAGAAAAUAACUAUAUAAAAAUUUAAGCUUUUAUGUUUUCAUAUUCAUCCUAUGAUUAUAAUCUAGUAACAAAAUUAACAUGCAAAAUUCAAUCAUAUUAAAGUGAAAAAUAACACAAGAAUGAAGCUUCAACAAACUAACUAACUAACUAUCUUCUAUAUAUAUGUGUGUGUGUGUCAAAAUAUAGUUUUAUCAUGGACAAUAACACGAAUGAUCUUGGCAGCGACGAUAUAAUAUUAUUCUUGAUGUUUAUUGAACACUUAAAUGACUAAUAUGCUCCUGAAGGUAAAAACAACAUUCAUUGGUGGGCAAGGUUAUUUUUUAUUUUUAUUUGCAUAGUAAAAUUACAAUAAAGCUCUUUGGUGAGAAUUGUUGUGGCCCAAGGUUUUUUUUUUUUGUUAUUAAAGAGGUUUGCUCAGGGACAUGGACAUUUUAGUAUCUUGCCAUGAAUAAAUAUUAUUGAGUUUGAAAAGGCGGGUUACGCGUGGUAAUCACUCGAACACAUGUCAUUUCACUCUCGGUUUUUGAACGACGCAUGCGACACCGUUCGACGACCAAACUCUAGCUUCUACGAUGACAUUUUAAUCCCCACAGUAUCGCCUCUAUUCAUGGAUGGUGCUUGUGCAAAAACUAUAUUAGGUUCUAUGUUGGUGAUCAUUUUUUUUUCUCUCUGUCUCGAUUUCAGAGCCAACCACUACAGAUUUCCAAAACAACCAUUUAAUUUAUUUUUCUUUUAGAUUUUGUCAUUGUUCUUUUUUACUUGUAUUUGUUUUGUUUUAGACUAUCCAUGCAAUUGGAAUCUUCUUUCAAUAUAAUGCUCAUUUGGUUUUUUCAGCUUUCGGAUUUAGUUCUCAUUCUUUUCAUUUUAUUUUAAAAGAAUUAUUCUCUCAAUUAAAUUAUCUUUUCAAUUGCAUUAUAUCAUUCUCUUAAUUCAAUUAUUUUUUAAGUUGCAUCACUCAAUAUUUUAGUUUAUUUUAUUUUAUGUCAGAUUUGGUCCAAAUUCUUUUGACUGUUAUUCAUUUUGUUUUCAAUCAUUUUUUUCUUGGAUUUUUUUAUUUCCUCUCUCAAUAUUUUAUUGAUCAUGAUUUUGUUAACCUUUCAGGUCAUGAAUUUGAAAUAUUUGACUAUGUUAGCUUACAUCUUUUUUUUUUCAGGUUUUUUUUAUAAUUGAUUUUUGAUAGUAUCAUCUUUCUGCAGGGUUAUCCCGAUCUCGUGUGACUGGUCACGAGUUUUAUAUAUAAACUCAGCUUUGCUCAUGACAAUAUUUUUUUUUUAAUUUAUUUAUUGUUGUUGCCUUAUUUUUUUUUAUCAUGUUAUUAAAUUAAUCAAAAUUCAAUCUAAUUAUCUACAUCAUGGACCACCAAUCUAAUCUUUUACUAAAAGAGAUGGAAAAAAAAAACUUAAAUACAUGUCUAAUAAACUCGAGUUUUUUCACGAGCUAAAUCUAAAACAAGACAGACAACUUCUUUAUUUACAAAGUCUACCUUACAUAUUCUUUUUUUGGUUAAAUUUGUCUUCCAUUAGCUUCAUAGUCAAGCCUGUUUUCUCUUUUCAAAAAUGGUUACGAGUCACGUGCAGUGAACAUGUGCCUUCACAAAGGUAAAAAAUAGAACACCAGAAAAGCACACGUAGCCAAACUCUACCGUCACCGUUACUGUGACGAAGAUUAGUUUUUUUAUAUUACCAAUACUCAUAUUUAACAUGAUUACCUCUUACAUAAAAAAAUAAAAAUAAAAGCGAAUAAAAAAAACACACAAAAUUGGUACUACCAAUCAAGAAAAACACGACCGAUAUUUGCUUCUCGCCGAAACAAAAUUGACAAUGCCAGAAAACAAGCAAUGCCGAUACGAGAACUGUCGUUCAUCAUCAUAUUAUCGUUAUUUAUCUUCAAAAAGCUAUAAGAGAAUCCGACCCGAACAAAUCUCCAAUAUCUUGAAAAUGGUCUUGCACAUUCCAACUUGAUAAACCGAAGCCGAAAUCCAAAUCCAUGUCCCUGAAAUCAUCAUCUUUCAAAAACCCACCAGCAGCAAAACUUGUUUCCUCGAAAAUAUUCCUCAUUGAACUCCGAAGUUCACAAAUGUCGGUUGUGGGAGGAAACAGACUGUCGAUCGAGGAAUUAUACUCCGAAAAAUCGGACAAGUUCUCCGAUACACAGGAGUCCUCUUUUACUUCAGGAACCUCAGUUCCGGUAUCUCGGAUUUCUCUACUUGAGCUGGCACUUUGAGUCUCGGCCUCUUCACUAAACCGGAGCACUGAGAUUGGAGAGCUCACAUUAACAACACCGUCAUUGUUAAUAUUAUAGUUACUAUUUGACUCGUCACCGGAGAUGUACCCGGAGGUGGCUGCCAGCGGUGAGCACCUAGCCGGAGGAGUGACAAAGUUGGUGAGGGCGUCGGGUCCACGCAACUGAAUAGCCGCGUUGUCAUAAACCAUAGCAGCUUCUUCAGCAGUAUCAUAAGUGCCUAACCACAGCCGUACACGUCUCAAGGGAUCUCUAAUCUCAGCCGCCCAUUUCCCCCACGGCCUUUGUCUCACCCCUCUAAAUUUCUUCCCCACCACCACCGUUGCCGUUGCCUUCGACGGAAAACGUCUCGUCCGAGACCCAUUAUCGCCAACCUUCUUCCUAGCACUCCUCGACGGUUUGGUCCCCAAAACCGUGUCGACUGGGACACAGUCAGCACUUCUUGAUGAUGAUGGUGGCUCUAUAGAGAUUUCAUUGACAAACUUUUUGACCCUUGUGACAUGUCGUUUAUGGGAAGAGCCUGCUGCAACCUCGUUUUCUUCGUCACUUGAAGAGUCAGUUGCAUAAGUGUCUGUUACUGAUAUCCGUACAAUUUUUGGAGGUUUAGAGUGUUGGACUGGAUUCGAUAAAAAUGAGGUUGUGAGUUUGGUUUGGUUUCUAUGCUCACUAAACUUGACUGGAUGAUCCAUUUUCUUGAUGGGUUUCUCUUUUUCUCGAGUGGUUACUAUCAGAUUCGCAUUGAAAAUGAAGCGGAGAGUAUAUAGUGAAGAAGGACGGGGGUGUAAAAAUAUUAGAAAGACUUAAAAGAAGAGGGAGAGAUUCUUUUGAGACUGGACACGAGGAGAAUAAAGAGAAAGAGGGGUAGGAGGUGGGAUAAAAAGAGACCCUGUUGUGGUUAUUGAAGGACGGGAAAUUUCAAGGAAAGUUACAAGGAAGAAAAAGGAGGAAGAUGGUCUAAAGACAAGAAACUGGGUUGAUAGGGGGGUAUAUAUGAGUACGGAAGCGUGAAGAUAUGGUCAGUGAGGACUGAGGAGACACCAAGAACUAUGGCAGCAAUAGAAAGAAGCAAAAGUGGUUUUUUUUUUAAAGAAAGUUCAUAGCUUUACCGGAGAGGAAAAAAAAGGGAGGGAAUAAAGGCAUAAAAUGUUUAGAAUCACCACCACCACUACUGCCUUCUUAUGCCACCACCACCGUUGCUUGACAGACACAAACUGCUUUUCCACACACUUACUCCGAUAAAGAAGUGAAGAGAAGCUUUUGGUAAAGAACCAAACGAAUACCAAGUGUUUUUCUUGGUACUAGAAAGGAGAUGAGAGGAUUUAAGAAACAGGGGAGAGAGAGAGAGAUAAAAAGAUACACAGCACACUUGAGCUUGUAGGCGGAUACCAAAACAAGCUAUUUUAUAGAAUCACAAGAAAGCCGCAAUACCCUUCAAACCGGUUCAGUAUCCUCAUCUAAUAUUCUAAUCUCUAAUUUCCGGAGUUUUUGUUUUGUACACGCCUCAUGCUAGUCCUUGCGUCAUAAACUAACUUUCAAUUCAGUCCUUUUAUUUCUGUGAAUAAUUCUUUUAAGGGGCUCCAGUAAUAUAUAAGAUGAUGUUGUUAUUCAUGCAUGAACAAAAGAUUUGGAUAAAAUGCAUUAACAAAUAUAGAUAAAUAAAAUUAAUUGAAACUUCCUUUUCAAACACUCUAAUUAAACAAAAGAUUUGUGGUUUGUUUUAGCUGUGGCUAUGAAUAUAAAAUAAUAUUUGAAAUAUAAUUCAAAAGUCCCUUAACUAGCGUGUGAAUUUAGCUAUUUAGUCAUCUUUCAAAUUUCAAAAAUGAAUUUUUAAAUUAGAAAAAUACCUUUUCUUUUGCGAUUGGAUUGGCACAAAAUCAAGAAUUCCUAGCUUUUUGGAGUGGGGAGGGGAUAAAGGAAUUUGAAAACUUGAUUGGAGAUAUCUUUAAAUUCAGGGAGUAAAUUAAGAUUCGUGUCAUUCGUUUCUACUACCGGAAAGAAGAGGAGAGGAGGGAGGGCGUGUUUAAUGACUGAACGACAGGUCGUAAGCUGAGAAGGCGAGAUAUUUUUAACGAGGCGCCGCAUAGAAGGGCAAGUAAGGUCCGUACACGUGGACAGGUGGACCCGGUAAAAGAGUGCCCAUCUAAUGGGAGGAUGUGCUUUUCCCUGCUGACUCGGCUAAAGAAGGAUUUUUUUUUUCGGAAUUGAAGAUUUUCAGUCACGUGAGACCAGACACUUAGUUCAGUGUUGCCUUUGACUAAGAAUAUUUUUAAAAACCCCUUUUAAUGACCCUUAAUUACUAUACUUAAAAAGUGUUAAACUGCGGUUAUUGAGGCUUAACCUUCAUGGGUUGUUUUUGUCUUUUGAGAUUGGAGGCAUCUAGUUGCCGUUACACUAUGUGUUGGCUCCGUGUAUGCUGAUUUCUUACUUGUUCUUACCCUUCUUUGCAAUUCUACAUUGAAUUUGGGGCCAUUUUAUAACUGAUUUUUUUAUUUUUUUUUAAAUGUUCUUGCUACAUUUUGACCAUGCCAUUCCAGUGCUUUCUUAGCUGGCUUCAAGUCAUGUAUGGAGCUUGAGAGAUGACUUGUUUAUUUGUCCGCUAUAAUUGGUAAAACAGUCGUUUUUUCGCGGUGAAUUCUAAUUUUCAGGUUGAAGGAAUGUUUUUAAAACAAAAAAACAUUUUAAAAAAUAAAAUGGUUUAAACAUUUUUAAUUAGGCGAGAAGGGGGAGAGAGAGAGAGGGAGAGGGAGAGGGAGAGGGGACAAUUUUUAUUUCCUUAAACAUGGUCUUAGUUUGAUGUUUUUGCUAAUUUCGACCAUGGAAAUGCAGUAUUUAAUUUUCUUAGCUGGCUUCAAUUGAUUGAGCCUGAGACAUGUAGGUAUCUUGAUACAUUACAUAGUGAGUGUGGCUGGUAAGAUAUUACUCUUGGCAGUAAAUUUGUAAUAUUUUUUGUUUGUUUGUCUGCCUGUGUGCAGGAUGAUUUUAUUUCCAUGGUUUUAAUGUCCCCUUUCUAUUUACAAUUUCUAAAACAACAUCGUUCUAGGUGGCUUGAUUAUCUAUUGAAACGCCCUUGAAGUUUUCAAUUUCCAUCCUGAUUAUUAAACAAUAUUUUUAUUAUUGUUUAGACGUGUUGAAAAGUAAAAAUAUAUUUUAAAAAGCAUUUUAAAAAACAAUCGUAAAAACUAUCCGAGUAAUUAUGUAAUAAAUAGCAGCAGGAACCCAAAAGAAUUAGCUUCUUUGGUAGUUUUUUCUUCUGCAAAGAUCUUGUGGUUAAAUCAAACAUCUUUUAUAGGUCGAUGAUUUUGAGGUGUUCACAUGCAUGAAUCAACAAUAAGUGUGUUGCCUCUUUCUUUCUUAACACCCAGCAGGCUUCUCCAUUCAUAGCCGUUAGCACUGGACAGUUUGGUGUUUGAUUCUGAAAAGGCUGCCAGGAAAUAAAAAUUGUUGGCUCUUACAAUAAACUCCAACUAAUAUACAUAGCAAGACAACUUUUUAUGAGUUGUUGCCAUAUUAAUCAUAUAUUGUGCGUUUUUUUUAAUUAAAUAAAAAUUAUAAUUCAUUUACUCUUAGAUGUCGGCACAGAUAGCAAGUAAAUAUUUAAUUUGAAUUAACUACCACAUAGGUACAUGAUAUACAUAAUCUUUUCUUACAUUUAUAUACCAUUUUUAUUUUUAUUUUUUUCAAGGCGGUUUUAAAAACACUACUACCUAGCAUAGUUGUAGGGCCUGUUUGUUUCUGCGUUUCAAAAACACUUUUGAUAAAAUUUGAAAGCGGGGGGCAACACGGUAAUUCACUAAAAAAUGGGCCUCGAUUCAUGGGCCAGCCGGAAUUGGUGUGUGUGACUCCUUAACAAUAUUGGCAUAUAUUUUAACAUGAAAAACUAUUUGAAAAGCAACCACAACCACACUGUCAAACAAAUCCGUAUUCUAAAAUGCAGUUGGUUUCAGAUGAUUAUUGGAAGUGUUUUUUUUUUAAUAUUAAAUUAAUAUUUUUUAAAUAAUUUUGAUAUGCCAAUAUUAAUAAUUUAAUAUAUUUUAAAAUGGAAAACUAAUUUAAAAAGCUUUUUAAAUAGAUUGUUUAAUGUUUUAGCAGACAUUUUCUAUGUAGUACAUUAUUUUAAAUGUUAAUUUGAACGGUUUCCCUGCUCUGUCUCUAUUGAGUACAGAUACCCAUGCUGCUUCCGUACAGAAAGUGACACCAAAUUUAGCAGAAUUUUGUGCAACUUGCUUUUCCUUCCUGAAUCCUGAUCAUAUCAUCCUCUACUACUUGACCACACCUUUUUUUAUUCCUUCAAAUUUUUGUUUUCUAUUGCAACGCCGAAGAUAUAAAAAAAUGGGGACUUUUUUAUUUUUAUUUUUUACUGUUUAGAUUGGUUGUGCCAGGCUUUUGUUAUGAGCAAAAGGGUGGUAAUUAUCCUGUAGAUUUUGUUUUUUUUAAUAUUUUUUUAUUUAAAAAUACAUUUUAAAAAAAAUGAUUGGAUGGUCAUACUCCUCACUCCUCAGCAUCACUGCUGGGAUUUUUUUGUCAAGAGAGUGCUUUGAAUAAUAUAGCCCCUAUCUAAGCUGUUGCUCAUAUCUAUCAGGUUAAAAAGCACUUUAAAAUGUAUCACGGGGGUUUCUUCAUGCUGUACAGCUAUGCUUCUUAAGAAUUUUCAGUUUUUUUUGUUUUAAAUUAAGUAUUUCUGUGUUUUGUUAUUGUUAAAUCAAAAAUAAAUUUUAAAAUAUAAAACAAUAUUAUUUUAAUAUUAUUUUCAAUCACAACCAUAAUUUCACAACGUUAAGAUAAAAUAAAAUAGAUUUUCAUGUUAAAAAGAAGAAGCAGUAAACUUUUUAUGUUUUCACAACAUUUUAAUGCGUUUAUAUUAAAAAUAAUUUUAAAAAAUAUACUAUUUUAAUAUAUUUUCAAAUAAUUUUUUAAAAAAAGAAUAACUAUCCUAAAAAUAAAAAUAAAAGGAGGCUGAGAAGGGAAAGAAAAUCAAACAAUUCCUCAAUCAUUUGCCGUUUUGUUUUUUAAUAAAUUUUGGAUCAUGCACCAAAGGCUAGCCUUUUAGAUCGACAUGUAUACAUUCCUGUACUCUCUCCGCAAUUUUGAUGGAUAGUUACGUCUUUGUUGACAUUCAAGGGGACUUGAUUAGCUUGAAUAAGUAGUAGCUAGGGUUCCUAAUUAUCCAUGGGUGGCACGUACUUAUGAAACAGACCAGUCAUGACCAUGACAGCUUGAACAUGGACGUGUUUUCAUGGCACGGAAGCUAGCCAGCGGCAGUACACGUACGACUUGAAUAGAAAAGAUCACAGAAAAACAAUAGAAUUGUCUUACAUAUACCAGAGUAUCAACCCUUUUAGAACAGGCUUUAGCUACGGAAACACAACACUUAAAUCAAUUAAUUAAAUGUUUAGUGGUGAGUGUCUGAGUGGUAUCCCUUUUACCUAGCAUUGCUAAUGUUGUCAAGAAGAGAUUAUCAUGCAUACCCGUUUCGUUUCAUUUGUUAAUUAAUGAUAUCAUGCUUAUAUAAACUAAGUAUGAAAAUACAUAAUAUACAUGAUAAUUAGCAAAAACAAUAUUAUAAAAGCAAUAAUAAUAAAAAUAAUUCUUGAAUACAAAAAUAACACAACAUAAUAAUACUUUUGAGUCUAUCUAUGUCAUCUGCGAUGAUGAGUGGAUGGACGAGCUUCAUCAAUAUCACAACUUCCACCUGUCUUUGUAGUCUCAUCCUCUGAGACAACAUCUAAGCUCAAAUUCUCUCAUAAUAAGUCAAGUGUAGUAUAACAUGUCUCGAACCAAGAAGAUACAUAAUAACGAGCAUAUUCUUCACCAUCGCCGAGAUCAUGAAGAUCAACAACAACAUAUCGACCAUCAUGUAGUAACUGUUCAACCUAAUAUGAAGCAAAUAGAAAUUAUUUAUCCAUAAAUAAAAUACAAUGUUUUUUGUCAAAGCCUAUAAAAAAAUACAAAUAUUUACAACAUUUUGAAUCUGACGUGCAUGUGGCUUAUGCUCCAUCUCCUUGCGUGGAGGAACUUACGCUGAGUAAGGUGUAAUGAUGUGACGUAUUCUACUCAAGUACCAGCUCAUGUAUUCCUUCUCAUAAAUUGUAGGAUGCACUUCUCUAAAAAUAAAAUUUCUCCGUGCAUCCUCUCAUUUUUUUUUUGGCGUGUCUUUUCGUUUAGUAAACCCAUCGGUGAAACUAUUGCCGGCAAAUCACAAAUUACCAACAAUCAUUUUUUAUGGUGAUUUCUCUUAUCAUUUUUUACUGUGAUUAAAUGGUGACUCAAACCAUAUCUUAGAGAUCCUUCCAAGUCAAUGGCGCACCAUCUCCGAGAUGCAAAUUCAAAUGCAAUCUUCGAGCCUCACAAUAGCGAAAAAUUCCAUAUCAUGAGUAUUAAUGUUGGUUGGUGGUUUUGAUUAUUAAGAGCAAGAAAGGACAUCCUAACAAGUUGUUGAACAAGUCAAGGAGCACUGUGACCUAGAUAUGCACUUGUUCCUAUUUCAAACUAUUAUUACAUAAUCAUAAAAGUUUAUGAAACUUGAGAGUUCGAUAGGGAUUGUGUUUCUUCUUUUGUUUUGCCAUCCUGCUUGAUGCAACCUUCUAGAUAAUGCCUUUCAGUUCCAUUGAUUUGUCUUGAAGGACACAAGAUUAUUCUUAAUUCCACCAACAAAUCAGUUUGUCAACGAGGUCCAUUGAUUUCUACAACGAAGCGCAGUAAUUCAUUAGGGCGUGUGUACAACAUUCAAAUUGGCACUCCAUACUAUAGUAUAGUUGUUAGACUCCAUGCGGUUUGGAGUUUAAAUUAAUUAAAUCAUUAGAUUAUAUGUGUUUAUUUGCGUGAUUAAAUAUAGAUUAAGCAUUCAUUAAUUGGAGCAUUAUUGACAGGACCCAUAACCUGCCUUAUGGUCGUAGCAGAGAAAACCACUUGCUCUUGUCUUUCAACGUAUACUAUAUGCUUUCCCUCUGGUCAAAAACUGCUGUUGAAGUGUACUUCGUCCACUCGGUGAGCCUAAAUUGAACUUGAGCCAGCUCCCUGUGGCAGAAGUGUGGUUCCCCGCUGUAUCAUCAUUUUUUUUUUUAAUUUCUUGUUAAAUUAUUUAUUUACACUUGUUAAUCCAUUAUUCUUUUAUUCGUUUUUUUAAGUGCGCUUACCGAAAUAAAAAGAAAAUGGUUUUGGUGGAGAGGCUUGACCACGGGGCGUGGUCCUGUUUCGGAAAUCGAAGACAGCCGAUGACCGUUUGAGACAUGGAAUUAGUGGGCCCAACUAGGAACUCGCCGUUUUCAAACGGCAUCAUACAUGAAUAUCAAGACAAUUUUUUUAUAGAUUUUUUUUUUUAAUUUUUUACUUCAAUAAAUUAAAAUUAUAGAAAAAUAUUUUAUUAAAAUCAAACAGAAUUCUAAAAGCAUCCCCGAACAUACCAUAGUGUUGUAGCGGAUAGGCACUACUAUUAAAGGAAGAAACUUUACAGUUAAAAGCCGUAGCUAUACCAAAAAGAUCUGAAUCUCUCAAUCAAUUCUCAUAUGGAUGUUUAUCUUCCUACUAAUGCAUUAAUGGAAAUUCUCUAUAUAGAGCAACCUUUUUACGAUCUAGAAUUGAAUUGACGGGAAUAGAAGUAAAAUUACUUAAUUGCCACCUAAUUUAAAACUUAAACCCAUAAGGUAAUAUUGAGAUAUUACUAGUGAGUUUAUAGCCCAACCGACACCUGCGUAAUCCUCCUCUUCAAGAGGUCUUAAAUUGGUUCAAAAAUGCCUCAUUUGUAAAUAGAAAAAAAAUGGUGUUAAGUAAAUAUAUUUUAUUUAUAAUAUGCAAACAGAGACGUUGUUGCCCAAGGAUACAAGAUUCAUAGAAGGAAAAGGGGAGGGAAAGGGUGGAGAGACCUUUUGUUCUUAUAUACAUAGACUUGCUAAAGCGGUGGUUGUUGCAAGCUAAAUGUUGGAUUAAUGUAGUUGAAAGAGGGUGCCAAGCCCUCAGAUUUAGGGUUUAGGUAGCCAUCAAAAACAAGAGGGGCAAAUAAACUAAUAAAGGAAGUUCUAGUUCAUCACAAUUGUGACGGGGUUAGGUGUAAGUUUUGAAUGCCCACUACCAUUAUUAUUAUUAUUAUUAUUAUUAUUAUUAAUAAUAGAGAGUACCUUUUUUGGAUGCCCCCUAAUCAAUGCAUCAUUAUUUCUGUGUUCUUCGAUUUGUUUGUUUUUAGUUUUAAAAAAAAAAUUAAAAAUUUUUUUUAUUUAAAAUUAAUUUUUUUAUUUGUAUUUUAAGAUCGCUUUGAUGUGCUGAUAUCAAAAAUAACUUUUUAAAAAUAAAAAAUAUUAUUUUGAUGCAUUUCCGAACAAAAAAUACUUUGAAAAACAAGCGCUACUACACUCUCAAGCACCACAAUUAAUUCUCCUUACUUGUUAGGCACAGUUUUCUUCUCGCUAUGAAUACUAGUUAAGCAUCAAUGGUGGUGCAAGAUCAAUGCAACUUGAGAGUCUAAGUUGCUCUCAAAGGUACGUAUGUGUGGCAGCGGUGGAAUUGGGGACGUCUUAAUUAACUCUUCGUUACAAAAUGUUGGCUACAAAUAUAAGUAGCAGACCUCCAUUUCCUUGCUCUUAUCUUAAAAUGAAAGGACUUGCUCUCCUCUCCUUCCAUAAAUUAGCAGUCAAAUUAAUAGCAUUGAUGGCACCCCAUCAUCUUGAUUUCAAUGCACAGCAAUGUGUUAGGCGUUAUGUUAAUUAAACCCAAGCACAGCCCCGAAAGGCCACAAAGAGCGAAUGUUUCAGAGCACGUACUCUUUAAUUUUAGAAAUAAAAUCAUGGAUAUUUAUGUGAUUAGAGAGCAAGGGAAUAGGAAUAAUCUGAUACUGAUUUUUAAUCCUGAACCAGAGGUGAUGAUAUCUAGAUUAGCAUUAAUACAGAGAUUCCAUCUCGCUCUGAUCGAUCGAGGGCAAUAAUUUGAAAGAAUUGUUAAUGAUAAUAAAGUCAACGAAACGUACAUGCAUGCCACCCAAGCACACAACCUCUGAAGGUCACAACCAGCAGAAGGUUUCAGCUAGCGAGAGUUCUUAAGAAGGGAAAUAAUAGAUAUUCAGUGAAUGAUUAGAAAGAGAGUGAGGAAUGAUCAUUUUGUUGCAUAAUGGGUUUGUUAAUACUAAAACUCAAUCAGUCUCUUACACUUCCAGCUCAGCAACUGCUUUGCAAACAUGUGGCGACUCGACAAUGGCCACAUCAUCCACUACUGAGAUAUUGAGUGGGGGUCAGCUUGUUCUUGUCAUUCUCGUCUCCGGUUGAGACAAACCCUAAUUAAGCAGAUGAAACGGUGAUUAGUUUAGGGGUUUGGGUACCCUUAAUUUAGGACGCUAAUUAAGCUGACUUUCCAGCUCGUGUGCACGACUCCUUUGCCGGGACUUAAAUUUGAAUUCUUUUUCAUUCAUUAUUAGGGUUUACACGUGCAUGCAAUUCUCAAAUCGGAAAAGAUCACCUGUGUGUGUGUGUGUGUGUUAACUUGAUUAAUUAAAUACUCCAAAUACAAUGAUUCUAGACAUGAUGAAAACUAAUUAAGUGAAUAGGAAGUUGAAGUCGACAUAUAUUUGUUGCAUUCAAAUGGAAUAAAAGGCAUGGACUUCUCUUGUGUUUAAUUCAUUUGGGGGGUUGAUAUUUGUGUUUAAUUCAUUUGGGGGGUUGAUAUUGAUAUGUUCCAUGCGCAGUUACCUUGCAGAUAUAUAUAUAUAGUUUUAUCUGCUUGUCUUAUUUUUUUAUAAUUAUAGAAAGAAAAAAGUGGAUGAAACAACCAACAGAUGUGGUAUUUAUUUAAUGGAAAUCAGCGGUUGGAUUUUAAUUAAUUAUCAGCGGUUGGAUUUUAAAUAUAUAAUUUAUUUGCUUAAGAUGACCACGAUAGGAAGGGCCAAAGAUAAGCUGCUACUCUAAUAUACACCAGUGUUGCAAGAUAUCAAGUUGAAGUGUAUAUGGGUCUGGAAAAAUAUCAAGUUGUCAGUGAGGGAAGUUUAUUAACUUCUAGUUCCUAAAAUUCUCUAUAAAAAGAGACUGAAGAAUAAUGUUUAAGGUUGUAAAUUCUGCAUUGUAUUGACAAUUUUCUUCACCUUAUUUUCCAACAUUUUUUUUUUGUUUUAAACCUCUGUUUUCUCUCUAAAUUUCCUUUUAAUUUAAAGCUUAGGUUUAUUGAGUAUUAUUUUCUUAAUUCGUUAGACUUUAUCUAGGAGUGAACCUAAGCAAAUUGUGUUGUUGGAAUUCCGGGAAGUUUAGUGAAGAAAGUCAUGUUGGACCAAGUGAGGAGUAAGAAAACUUUAAGAAUAAAAACAUGAUCAUUGAUAACAACAAAACUUGAUAAAUUUUAAAGUAUUUCAACAAAUAAGUGUAUUUUUUUCAUUUAUGUUUUAACAUAUAUAAAAAUAUAUUGUAUGAUUAGUAUGCUUGUUAGAAGUUUUUUUAUAUCAAUUACAAGUUUGAUAUAUGUUUAAUGUGCAUGAUAGAAUAUAUAUAGUUUUUUUUUUUUCAUGAUUGCAAGUUACUAUAUUCUAAUUAAAUUGCAUAUUUAUAGACUAAAUAUAUUUUUAUCACUUUUCCAGUUUUAUUUGUCAAUCUUGAACAACAAUUAAUUGCUCACAAAUGAAUCAACCAGGCAUUGUGAGCUUGUGUCGUGUUGUCCUCGUUAUUCAUGUGAUGAGGCUCUAAGUGGUUAGGCUUUCAGUUUGUUUCAUGCUGUCGUUUCGGGUUGGCCCAGAAACGUUUUAGUUCGGCAUCUGCUUGUAGUAACUUGGAUACAGAUAUUGCUAGUGUCCCAAUGUGUUGACUGUCGAAUGCAUGCUUUAUUGCUUUCGUGUUCUUUCUGCCAAAAUCUUUCUUUCUUCUCUUUCCUCUCCCUUCCUGAUUCGAAGCAAGAACAACUUUUGAAAUAUAGCAUUAUUUGUUCCUUGGGAGUCUCUCCCUCCUACAGACCUGGUCUAGGCAACAUUUUAUUAACCCCAUAUGGUUAGCCCUGUACCAGUGGUAAGAGCCUAUUAGUUUGCUCAUCAUAAUCUGAAGCUUCGGAGUUAAGGCCCAGGUCCAGGGACAAAGAGCCUGUCUUGCCUGCAGGUUCUGCUACCCAAACCACGAAACACGCAGCCAGCAGCCAGUUGCUUUAUUGAUUUUGUUGAUGCCUUUUGCCCUUGGUCAGAUUGUCUGUAAAUAGUAAAUACCCUAGAUCCUUCUCUCUUUCGCGUGUUCUUUUCUUGUUCUUCUUUUUCUGGCAUUUUCCUUUUUAUAUUAAAAUAAAAAGGAAAUCUUUACUGAAUUUUUCCAAAACCUGUUUUUAGUAAACAAGAAUCUUCUCCGAUUCCCAUGCAAAGAAUAAUCAUGAUGCAUUUUAAGAAUUUAUUGCUGCAAGUUCAAAAGCAACCCUGUUCCUGGACUUCAACAUUUCCGGUAAUGGAAGAAGGAAAACAAGGACUGCAAUCACUCGUGUGAUGCAGGUGUGCCAUGGCGGAUGAGGUUCAUCCUCCAAGUGGUCUCUGAACAUGGUUUUGAAAAUAGGGAUGUAAGGUUGACACUGUAGGAUAUUUAAGACAGUUUCUUCAAAGUUCUAAAGACAAUUUCUCAUACAAACAAUUAAAGCAGCAAAUGUAUAUCAGGAUGGGCAGUAAUCAAUCCUCUCCCUUUUGGUCCACUCAUAAGAGGCACAGAUCACACUUCUUCAUUAUACAUGAUAAUUUAAAGACCAAAGGCACUGGGAAAGAAGCCCUCCCUAUCACACACAUGGCAGCACAUUAACCCAUUGCAUACUUCUGGGUCCAGCUCCUUGCAGUUGUCUCGUAUUUGCUCCUAUCAGUCUUG